UUUUUUUUCCUUUUCUUUUUCUUUCCAUAUUUGAUUGGGCCAUUUGGAUUCUGGAGAAGACAACUACUAGCUGUAAGCCGUUUUUUCACACUCUGAGGGAGUACUUCAUAUUUCUCCAGUUUAAUGGCAAGGGAGAAUCCGCCGACAAUAUGCUGUUAUGCACCAUAUACAUAUCUAAUGAACAAAACCAAAUAUUGGAAUGACGAUGCCAAGAGGAUCACAACAUAUGCUGCUGCUAUAUCAAAAAACUGAAACUGGCAAAUUCACUGUGACACUUUCAGACUCUGGGUGCAGAUCGGAGCCAAAAAAUGACUUAUGGGUGAUUAUAAGCAUGUAUUCAGACAUGUGAAACCAAGUUCUCACAUCCGAUUGGUUGAAACGUUCCACGGUAAAGUUCCGUUUCGGUUCCACAAUAUCAGCAAACAGGAGGCAGAUUCUCAUCAAUAUUGGCACAACAAAGACAGAAAUUUCAGAAUAGUAGAAAAAAAAAUGCAUUAACAGAUAACAGACACAGAAAUGCAGGCCUGGGACUCCUGCGUGAAUGUGUAUCAGCAAGGUAGAAAAUCAAGUUCAGUAGAAUGGCAGCAACCUAAAGAUAGUAGGUUAGGCUUUCGAAGCAAUACAUGGUUGCAAGGGGUUCCCCCAGAAAUGCAACCAAACAACCCUGCUAGAAUCUGAUGAACUAUCCUGUUACACACCAUGCAUAUACCACUUAUGUUACUCAGGAAAUUCAAUAUUUGAAUAACCAUGCCGGGAACAAACAUAUAUCUUCUGGUCCUAUCAAAGAAGUGAAACUGGCAAAUUUAAUGCUACAAUAUGGCACAGAAUUUCAGACUCAGGUGCACGGACGAUCACAGAUUUCUGGGUGGUUGCAAGAAUGUAUAGAUCAGCAUAGCAAACCAAGUUCUCACAUCAGUAUGAUGGAAAUAUAAGGAUUGGUAAACUCUACUUCAGCUUAAUAUCAUCAAAACAGCAGAUUGAUGAGAUCGGCAAGCCAGCAAUUCCAGUACAGGUGGACUACUAAGAUGAGAUGAGAACAAAAUUCACUGCAAAAACAGAUAACAGAUACUGCAAUACAUGGCUGAUUGUCCAAAUUUAAAGGGAAAUCUCUCUAAUUACCAUAGCAUUUCGGUUGAAUGGCAGUAACCUAAAGAUAGUACAUCAGGCCUACCUACCAAACCAUAGACGGUUGCAAGGGGUACAAAGCAAAUAAAACAGGUAGUUCAAGCUCCCACAUAACUGCAACCAAAUAACAUGACAAGCCAAUGUAAACUACUAUCUCUACCUAUUGUGCCUCCUCUGCAUCUUUUUUCUUCUUUUUCUUCUCCUUUUUCUUCUCACUCUUCUCAACCUCCACACUCUCUGGAGCGACAUCUUCACCACCUUCCUUGCUCUUCUUCUUCUUCUUUUUCUUCUCGCUGCCGCCCUUCUCCUCAUCAGACAGACUGCUCUUCUCUUCCUUCACUGCCUCUGAAACAGCUGAUCCUGGUUCUCCCUUAUCUUUCUUUUUCUUCUUCUUCUUCUCACUCUUCUCCCCUUCCACUGCCUCAGUGACCUCCUCAACCUUCAUCUUCUUUGCAGGUGUGGAAGCAGUUACAUCAUCCUCAUCAGUCUUCCUCUUUUUCUUCUCCUUGACCUCCUGACUUGGCACCACAUCCUGUUGUUCGACCUUUACCUUCUCAGGCUCAGGAGCAGCUGCAAUGCUAGCAAUCAUUGCAUCGCCACCAGUAGGAAGCACCACAUUUCGAAGCCACUCAGCCGGGGUCUUGUCAGUUGGCUUCCCAUGCUUAUCAAGGAGGCCAUCGGCUAUCAUCUUCUUCUUCUUAAGUGCCACCGGACCAAGUCCCCACUUCCUUGGGUAUGUGUCCCUGUCCAUCACCACCCUCUUGAUCUUCGCUACAGCACCAUGGUCGCAAGUUGCCAUAACAGCAGUAGGCAUCUCAGCGAUACCAAUGGCAAUCGCCUCCCCCUUGGUAGUCAUGAGAACAACCUCUUCCCCAACAUCAAUGUCAUUCUCAAACCGGAGCAACCCAGGAAUCAUAAGCUUGGCACCAUAGCAGAUAGCAUUAACAGCAGAGUCCUUCACAACAAGCCUCUUGUAGCUAGUAAGAAUUACCUCAAGCGGCAUAACCACACGCCUUAUGUAAGACUCAUCCUUGUGGUUGUCAAGCGCCCACAUGGCAUCCAUCACAUCGUGCAUGGUGACCAUGUUGUCCUGCUCUCCCAGAAUACCUGACCGCACACGGCGAAGCUCCUGCAUAUGCGCACCAACACCCAGGAGCAGCCCAAGGUGCACACAGAGCGUCCGGACAUAGGUUCCGGCCUCGCAGGAGAUCCAGAACACGGCAAGGUGGCGCUCGGCGUCAUGCUCCAGCAGCUUGCUCUCAUAAAUGGUCCGCACCCUGAGCUGGCGCUUGACCGCCGAGAUGAGCGGAGGCCGCUGGAACACAGCCCCGGUAAGGGACUCCAGCGCGCGGGCCACGCGGGCCGUGUCUGGAACGGCGGCGUGGAAGCGGGCGAUGCACACAUACUCCUUACCUGCGCCCUGCUGCGACUUGACGAGGCGUGUGGCGCGGUCGACGCAGACGAUGAGGUUGCCGGUGACCUUGGGAUCGAGCGUGCCGCUGUGGCCGGUCUUCUCGACGCGGAGGAGGCGCUUGAUCCACGCCACCACCUCGUGGGAGGAGGGGUUGGACGGCUUGUCGAGGUUGAUGACGCCGUAGCGGAGGUACUCGGCGAGGGGGCGCUUGAGGGGCGAGUGGCCGGAGGGGAGCGGGGUGUAGUGGCCGGUGCGGACGUUGAGGCGGUCGUAGUUCUUGAGGAGGAGCGGCCAGGUGGAGGUGUCGAGGGACGGAACCAGGGCCUGGGGCUUGAUCAUAUAGCCAUCAGUCUUCGCCUCGGCGUCCGCCAGCGACGUGGUAUCGGCGGCGGCGGCGGCGGGGUCGGUGGAGGCGUCCUUGGAUUUGCUCUUCUUUUUCUUGGAUUUNNNNNNNNNNNNNNNNNNNNNNNNNNNNNNNNNNNNNNNNNNNNNNNNNNNNNNNNNNNNNNNNNNNNNNNNNNNNNNNNNNNNNNNNNNNNNNNNNNNNNNNNNNNNNNNNNNNNNNNNNNNNNNNNNNNNNNNNNNNNNNNNNNNNNNNNNNNNNNNNNNNNNNNNNNNNNNNNNNNNNNNNNNNNNNNNNNNNNNNNNNNNNNNNNNNNNNNNNNNNNNNNNNNNNNNNNNNNNNNNNNNNNNNNNNNNNNNNNNNNNNNNNNNNNNNNNNNNNNNNNNNNNNNNNNNNNNNNNNNNNNNNNNNNNNNNNNNNNNNNNNNNNNNNNNNNNNNNNNNNNNNNNNNNNNNNNNNNNNNNNNGGGGGGGCGGGUAGGGGGAUUAGGGUUUUUGCGGGGACGGGGAGCGGCGCCGUGGCGGCGAGAGGAAGAAGGGGGUUUUAAGGGUAAGGGUUUAGCGGGGUGCGUGGGCUGGAGCGAUGGGCUUUGCCGUUGGGCCGCCCGGUUAGAAGUCACCAAACAUCUGCUCCCUGAAUGGAACCUCAAAAAACCCUCAAAAAAGAUAUUAGAAGUAUGGAACCUAAAAAAACUAGCCAUCUUUUCUAGAAUCUUAAAAAAAGAUAUAUUUUCUAAAAAAACAGAGAUAUGGAGCCUCAAAAAAUAGAAUUAUGGAAUUCCAUCAAAAGAAAAAUAGAAGCAUGGAAUUGCCUCAUAAAGCAAAAACAGAAGUAUGGCACUCAAUUAAGAAAAGCAUGGAAUGAACGAAAUUUCCCCUAAAAAGGAAAAAAAGGUUAUUGAAUUUGCUCAAAAAAAGUAAGAAACAAAUUUCAGAUGAUCGGUCUUCAAACUACUAUAACGCUUCGUUUGGAUGUCUCCAUUGGGGAGCUUCGUAUUGUAUUGGUCUGAAUUCCAAAUCAGUGAGGAAACAUGAAUGGCAUGAAUACGAAUUCACCUGUUUGGUUGUCUGGUGAAUUGGCCCUUGAAAUGCCUCUGAGAUUUCAAUACCAAAUCAUGUUUGGGUGACAAACUUUGGAAUUGCAUAGCUACAUUACCUUAUCAGAGGGAUUUUCAGGAUAUGGAGGGGUUUGAGAAGAAGAUUUAGGCCAUGGCCAUGGAUCCAUGGUGGAGCAGUGAUGUGGCCGCACAAAAAGAGGAGCAGCUCGUACAUCUGUAAUGGUGGAGUGAUGUACAUAAGGAGCUGCAGCAUGUGGAGCAGGGAGGACUUGAGCCAGGCAACGAUAGGCAAGGACGAGGCCACACGUGGCUAGAAGGGCAAAGCCGAUGGCGGGGCGCGCCGGUCCUGGGCCGCUGUCGACCUCCAUGGCCGGGCGCAGCAUAGGGCGACAGGAGAUAGCGAGGGGGCGACGGGAAAGGGGUGGGGAAGAGGGGAGAGACGGACCUGCACCGCGGCCGCCGCCACGACCUAGGUCGGCGCUCGAGUUCGCCCCUCCCGUUCCCCUUCGCUGCCUUCUGUUUCUGUUUCGUGGGCUGAAGCGGUAUGCUUUGCGGGACAUAUGCGAUUUCGAGCCAAUACGGAGCGCCACCCCUCCGAAACGUGGGAGCGGGAUUUUCACGGGAGCAAAAACGGGCCUGAAUUGCUCGUUCAUUUCCAAUACGAAUUCAGUGUCCAGCCAAACGUCCGUAUUGACCCCUGUUGAUUAUGAAAUCCAUUUCAUGGGCUCCAAUGGAGACAUACAAACAUAGUGCUAUGGAAAUAGUGAAAAAUAUAUGGGACAGAGUGCUGCCACAUUUUUGUUUGGGUCUGUCUAGGGCACAUCUAGAUGUGCCCUAAUUAUUGCACAUUUAAAUGGCUCAAUCAAAUAAGGAAAAGAAAAAUAAAAGGAUAAAAGAAAACACAUGCACGAAUCUGCGGGUAAAAUCAAUGACAUAAGAUUUAAAUGUGAAAUACUUAGGGCACAUCCAGAUGUGUGAUACGUCUCCGUCGUAUCUACUUUUGCUAACACUUUUCCUCUUGUUUUGGACUCUAAUUUGCAUGAUUUGAAUGAAACUAACCCGGACUGACGCUAUUUUCAGCAGAACUACCAUGGUGUUGUUUUUUGCAGAAAUAAAAGUUCUCGGAAUGGAACGAAACUUUGCGAGGAUUUUUUAUACAAUAAAAGAGAAUUUCUGGAGCCAAGAACCACCGGAGGGGGGCACUUGGGUGGGCACAACCCACUAGGGCGCGCCACCCCCUCUAGGCAUGCCCAGGAGGGUUGUCCCCACAUGGUGGCCCCGCAGACCCAGAAACCGACGCAAUAAAAUCAUAUUUUUCCAGAAAAAAGAGGAAGAAAGAAUUAUCACGUUUCACGAGACAGAGCCGCCGCCGUCUCCUGUUCUCCAUCGGGAGGCCAGAUCUGGAGUCUCUUUGGGGCUCCGGAGAGGGGGAUCUUCGAUCUUCGUCAUCACCAACCCUUCUCCAUCGCCAAUUUCAUGAUGCUCCCCACCGGGCGUGAGUAAUUCCUUCGUAGGCUCGCUGUUCGGUGUGGAGUUGGAUGAGAUUCAUCAUGUAAUCGAGUUAGUUUUGUUAGGGCCUGAUUCAUAUUAUCCAUUAUGUUUUGAGAUUGAUGUUGCUAUAACUUUGCCAUGCUCAAUGCUUGUCACUUUGGGCCCGGGCGCCAUGUUUUCAGAUCUGAACCGUUUAUGUUAUCACAGUUACAUCCAUGUUCUAGAUCUGAUCUUGCAAGUUAUAGUCACCUACUACGUGUUAUGAUCCGGCAACCCCGGAGUGACAAUAGUCAGGACCACUCCUGGUGAUGACCGUAGUUUGAGGAGUUCAUGUAUUCACCAUGUGUUAAUGCUUUAUUCCGGUUCUCUAUUAAAAGGAUGUCUUAAUAUCCCUUAGUUUCCAAUAGGACCCCACUGCCAUGGGAGGGUAGGACAAAAUAUGCCAUGCAAGUUCUUUCCAUAAGCACGUAUGACUAUUUACGGAAUACAUGCCUACAUUAUAUUUAUGAACUGGAGCUAGUGUCGUAUCGCCCUAGGUUAUGACUGUCUCAUGAUGAAUAUCAUCCAACGAAUCGUCGAUCCAAUGCCUACGAUUUUCCUACAUACUGUUCUUGCUAAGUUACUACUGCUGCUGUCACUAUUGCACUUGCUACAAAAUCACUGCCAUCACUGUUAUCGUUACUAUUACUGCUACCACUAUUAUCAAAACUAUCAUAUUACUUUGUGAAAGGAUCGAUAUGGUUGACUAGAGGGGGGGUGAAUAGGCAACUAACAAUUUUUAAGCUUUUCUUUAACAAUUUAAACCUUGCAACAAAGUAGGUUGUCUAGAUAUGCAACUAUGUGGACAACCUAUAUGAUGCAAAGACAACUAGCACACAAGCAAGCAAUAGAUACAACACAAGUAAGCUUGCAAAAGUAAAGGCACGAAAUAACCAAGAGUGGAGCCGGUGGAGACAAGGAUGUGUUACCGGAGUUCCUUCCUUUUAAGGGGAAGUACGUCUCCAUUAGAGCGGUGUGGAGGCACAAUGCUCCCCAAGAAGCCACUAGGGCCACCGUAAUCUCCUCACGCCCUCACACAAUGCGAGAUGUCGUGAUUCCACUAUUGGUGCCCUUGAAGGCGGCGACCAAACCUUUACAAACAAGGUUGGGGCAAUCUCCACAACACUUGGAGGCUCCCAACGACACCACGAAGCUUCACCACAAUGGAGUAUGGCUUCGAGGUGACCUCAACCGUCUAGGGUGCUCAAACACCCAAGAGUAACAAGAUCCGCUAGGGAUUAGUGGGGGAAAUCAAAUAUCUCUUGGUUGAAGUGUAGAUUGGGGCCUUGUCACCCAAUCCCGAGCAAAUCAACAAGUUUGAUUGGCUAGGGAGAGAGAUCGGCCAAAAAGGAAGCUUGGAGCAACAAUGGAGUUUAGGGUUGGAAGAGGUGAGUCUUCUUGGAGAAGAAGACCCCCUUUUAUAGUGGGAGGACAAUUCCAACCGUUGCCCACCACUCAGCCCGCAGCCCACGGAACUACUGCUCCACAGGCGCGGUACUACCGCACUGGCUUCCGGUACUACCGCGGUGGACCGCGGUACUACUGUGAGCACGACAGAGACCUGACCAGGCAAAAGGAGCACCGACAGGGCGCGGUAGAUCCGCAGGAGCGGUACUACCGCGGCCCCAUGCGGUACUUCUGCAAGGCAGACACGGGCCAGGCCUGGUAGGCACAGAUGUAAAAAAUUACAUCCGUGACUACCUCCGCUGAGAAAAUGUCGUGCAAAAAUCCGACACGGAACUACCGCAGCCGAGGGUGCGGUACUACCUGUUGGGGAACGUAGCAGAAAUUCAAAAUUUUCCUACGAAUCACCAAGAUCUAUCUAUGGAGAGACUAGCAACGAGAGAGAAGGGAGUGCAUCUACAUACCCUUGUAGAUCGCUAAGCGGAAGCAUUCAAGGGAACGGGGUUGAAGGAGUCAUACUCGUCGUGAUCCAAAUCACCGGAGAUCCUAGUGCCGAACGGACGGCACCUCCGCGUUCAACACACGUGCAGCCCGGUGACGUCUCCCAUGCCUUGAUCCAGCAAGGAGAGAGGGAGAGUGUCGGUUUCAAAACCGGCGGAUCUCGGGUAGGGGGUCCCGAACUGUGUGUCUAGGCGGAUGGUAACAUGAGACAAGGGACACGAUGUUUUACCCAGGUUCGGGCCCUCUUGAUGGAGGUAAAACCCUACGUCCUGCUUGAUUGAUAUUAAUGAUGUGGGUAUUACAAGAGUAGAUCUACCACGAGAUCAAGGAGGCUAAACCCUAGAAGCUAGCCUAUGGUAUGAUUGUUGUUCGUCCUAUGGACUAAAGCCAUCCGAUUUAUAUAGACACCGGAGAGGGCUAGGGUUACACAGAGUCGGUUACAAUGGUAGGAGAUCUACAUAUCCGUAUUGCCAAGCUUGCCUUCCACGCCAAGGAAAGUCCCAUCCGGACACGGGACGAAGUCUUCAAUCUUGUAUCUUCAUAGUCUUGGAGUCCGGCCGAUGAUGAUAGUUCGGCUAUCCGGACACCCCCUAGUCCAGGACUCCCUCAGUAGCCCCUGAACCAGGCUUCAAUGACGACGAGUUCGGUGCGCAUAUUGUCUUCGGCAUUGCAAGGCGGGUUCCUUCUCCGAAUAAUUUAUAGAAGAUUGUGAACACCAGGAUAGUGUCCGGCUCUGCAAAAUAAAUUCCACAUACCACCGUAGAGAGAAUAAUAUUUACACAAGUUUAAUCUACUGACGUAUUUUGUGGCGUGAUGUCACACCACUACCAAGCCUUUACUCGAAUUGUUUUUAUUGUACUACCUCAGCGCGUUUAGCGAAGCGGUUUCCUUGGCACGUCUUGUCAAAGCAGAGAUCGUGUUCCCCUUAUUCCGGGAUUCCCAUCAAUACGGACGUGGGUAACCCAACCGUGCCAUUGAUUGCGGCGCUUGGGAGAUAAGUGAGUUUUAUCAGGCCGGUGGGGACACAUAGUUUCGUCCGCCCAUAUAAGGGGAUAAAGAUCCAACCCUUUUACCUACGCCUUCUUCCUCCUUUGCUUAUCCAUCUCCGCAAACUCGAGCUCCAGCGCCCAAGUCCGCACAUCUCACCUUAACCUUCUCCCACUAUGUCCGGAGCGGGAGGCAAGUGGAUGGCCUCCUCCGUUACGGAGGGGCAUAUCCAGAAGUUGCGCAGUGCCGGAUAUCUGUCCAGCGACAUCGCGCACCAGCUCCCCGAUGAGGGGGAGCUCAUCCCCACCCCCAGGCCCCAUGAGAGGGUAGUAUUUCUUUCCCAUUUCCUCCGUAGACUGGGCUUCCCACUCCAUCCCUUUGUCCGGGGGCUCAUGUUCUACUACGGCCUGGAUUUCCAUGAUCUGGCCCCGAAUUUCAUCCUCAACAUCUCGGCGUUUAUCGUCGUGUGUGAGGCCUUCCUCUGCAUCCAGCCCCACUUUGGCUUGUGGCUCAAGACCUUCGGUGUCAAGCCGAAGGUUGUGAAGGGCAGCCAAGCGGAGUGCGGAGGCGCCAUGGUGGGCAAGAUGCCCAACGUUACUUGGCUCGAGGGCACCUUUGUGGAAACCAUUAAGGGGUGGCAAUCGGGGUGGUUCUACAUCACCGAGCCGCAUGACCCUGAAUGGGCAGCGGCCCCCGAAUUCAAAUCUGGCAUCCCCAUAUGGCUCACCUCCUAGAAAGAGAGUGACCGGACAUGGGGUGAUUCGGAGGAGCUGACCGGACUUGAAGCCUGCAUCCAAAAGCUAGUGAACAAGAAGCUCAAGCUUGUCAACGUAGUCCAGGUCAUGCUCAUCCGCCGGAUUCUCCCGUGCCAACAACGGGACUUCAAUAUGUGGGAGUUCGAUCCGGCGCAGCACCAGACUUUGAGCGGGCUCUUCGACACUACGUACGAAGUGGCCUGGAGGGUGCUGUUUAAGGGCGCCGAGGCUCCCACAUCCGCUACCGAAGAUCGCGGAUUCAGCUCGCAGCGUCCGGCUAGCGAGGUAAGCGAUUUUGCCCUUUACGGGACACUUGUUUUCCAUGCUUUGACUCUAUGCGGGAUCUAAACUCUCCCUCCUUUGACAGGAAUGGCCGAAGAAGGCCGAACAGACUAUCUGUCUGGCCCCAUUGCCAGAAGACCUAGCGGACGCCCGCUUAACGGGGCUGCUGGCUCCGGCACCCCACGUGGUGCCGGAGAAGAAGGCCAAGAAGAAGGCCACGGGCACUUGAAAGAGUUCCCAUUUUCAGGUGUCAUCGUACGAUGACUCCGAGGCAGACUCCUCCCAUGAAGGCGAGGAGGAGAAGAAGGAGGUCUCUCCCCCAGCGGGGGGAGGGAAGAAAAGGAAGGCCUCCCCAACGAGGGAGGCCGAAGGGUCCAAGAAGGGAAGGACUCUUCCCCCGGACUGCUCUGCCAACACCGGCGAUGACGACAAGGAUUGGCCUCCAAGGGCCAAGCCCCUGGCGAGAUCGUAAGUAUCCGGACUCCCGAAUAACUUCAUGGUUUUUCUUUUCGCCACAUGGUGUCUUUCUAAUGCCGCAUACAACCCUACAGUCCGCCCAAGGAUGAUCUUCCCACUUCGUCGAGCGGGUCCUUGGGUGCGUCGGAUAUGGAUUCUCUUCCGACCGCCUCCACCCCCCGUGAUGCGGACGAUGCCGAGGUAGGAUCCCGGGAAGGGACCCGCCAGGAGGAGGAGGCCCCGGAGGUGCCGCAGGGCAACCUCCCGGACUUUGCACCGGACUCCGCCCCGGAACCUGUAGUGGCUCCGGAGUCCGGCGGGCGGCCCCUUCGUAAGAAGGGCAAGACCGUGAUGCUGGCGGCCUCCGUCCAACCGGAGGCACCAGAUAGCUUGCUGGAGGCGCUCAAUGGCGCCUCCAUCAAAGAGGAACACCGCACUGUCAUGAGUGCGGUGAUUCAGAAGGUUCAGCUUGCCAAGAGCGGGCUGACCGAAGCCUGCGGCAGCCUUCUAACAGGCUUUGAGGUAAGAAUUUUGAUAUAUGUAAAAUAGUACCGCAUAGACAGUAGCCCCUGAUGCUCGGCUUGGUAUUCGAAAAGAAAAGCCAGACCGAGGAUCUAAAAAGAUAUACGCAGGAGUCAUAUAAAAAAAUAUGUCAAUAUGGGAUUGCAGGCUGUGCUGCUGACCUCUGCCGCCCUGACUGCGGAGGUCAAUACUUUGAAGCAAAGCCUCGAGCGGUCCGAGAACAAGCUCGGCCAUGCCAAGAAGCAGCUCGAGGAUAAGGAAGGUGAGUAACACCUUAUUAAAAUUGUACCUUACAGAAAAGGAUUUGGUUGCAAGAAGGAUGACAAGAAUAACAUGGGUAUUGCAGAGGCCACGAACGAGGUGGCGACCCUGAAGGAGGCGGUGUCCGCGGCCGAACGUAAUGCGGCCGUGGAGCGCACCGAGCGAGAGAAGCAGGAGGCGCGGGUGGCGGAGGUAAAGCAAGAGCUCUAGGCUCUCGUGGAAAAACAUGAGAGUUUGGAGCGUGACUCGAAGACUCGAGAGUCCGAGCUUGCAUCGGCUCUUGAGAGUGCCAAAGCCGCUAAGGCCGAAGCCUACAAGGCCCUCCAGGAAAUCGAGGCGUUGAAGAAAAUAGCAGCGGGUAAGGCAUUUUUCAUGCAAAGUAAGCAUGUGGGUGUGAAUUACCUAUCACUUACCCGAAUUCGGAGCUCUCCAGGAGCGAUCGCAGAUCUGCCCGGCAGCGUGUCCGAUGCUGCCGCUUUCUAUAGGGCCGAGGAGGGGAGCUCGACGGAGAAGGUCUUCUGGUCUCAGUAUGCUGAGGCCGGACAUCCGGUGCCCCUUAGCGACCAGCUGAAGCAGCUGGUCGAGCUCCAGAAGGUGGCCGAACAGGCCAUGAAGGGCCUCAUAGUUCGGCUGUGGCCUAAGGAGGCCAUGCCUGGGAGCUACUUCAGCCUGGUGCGGCGGCCGGUGGAUGCGUGUCCAUGGGUUGAAGUCAUCAAGCACUCCGCCUAUAUUGAAGGUGCCCGUCAGGCCCUUGCCCGCGCAAAGGUGCAAUGGGGCAAGAUGGAUGCUAAGAAGCUUGUGACGGACACGCCACCGCCGGGCAAGGAGUAUCGCACGCCCGAGAUGUAUUAUAAGAGUGUCCUGAAGGGUGCCCGCAUUAUUGCGGGUGAGUGCUCCAAAGAUGUAAUAUUUGAGUAGACUCACAUUUUGUUAUCCUGUGCGCUGAAAACUUUGUUCAUAUGCGCUAAGCAACGCUUGUUAAUUUAAAAUAUUACCUUCUGUGCGGCCGUUUAUCAAAUCUGAGAGAUGGCAAGUCGUCGGCUUCAGCCCCCAUGCCACGAGUGCUGGGGUGUUCAGGAUAAAUUUGAGCACUCUUGUUCCCAUUUUUGGGUCCAUCUAGGGAGGCGCUCAACACAACGAACAAGGCAACCGGACUUAUAAUGCUUGAACACUCUCACUUAGCCAUAGAAUUCUAUAAUUUUAAAUUUCGGCAAAGCCCCUAGUGUUCGGAAGGCCGAAUUUGGGGCGCUAUCCACGCCUGGGCCGGACAAAGCUGGUUCCUCGCUCUGAGCGGCAUAAGUCUUUAGGGACUCGAAAAAACCUCUCGAACUGCGACCGGCUCUCACCUCAUCAUGACAGUCAGUUUUAGCUUUCUCCACUAAGGCGCUCGCCCAGCUCAACUGGGGCGCAAUCGCAGUGGUUCUCCCAGUGCUACCUUAGCCGAUACAACGGAACAUAAGGUACCAAAACAUGGGAGCCGGGCAAACCCAACUAUUGACCCAAGACAUGAUUCGGAGCCGAUGCAUAUAAUGCUAUAAGUUCGGGGUGCCGCACUUGUGAAAGUGUUCGGACUUAUCACACCAUGAAGCGGGAAGCAUAAGCCCCUGGUGUAUUUAGCCGUACCAAAGUGUACGGAUGCAACAUGUCAUAUAUGUAUAAGAAAUAAAUGCAAUUAUAAGCAAAAAGGUGCUGCAUUGUUUAUUCAAGAAAUACUGCUGCGAAUGCAGAACGAUACAAAUGGUGCAAUAAGCAAGGGAUGGGACUAUUAAACAUGUCCCCCUCUAGGGGUAGGCUGCGGAAUGGUGUAUAAAACAGAUUUAAUGCUCGUAAUGAAGACCACCUGGAUAUUCGUCAUAGCCUUUCUCCUUCCCUGGCUGUUGUAUCGUGAGUUCGGCAGGUCUACUGCCGGACAGGGCCUCUGAUGAACGGAGUCCUGUGGGUAAAAAAAAGAAAAAGAGAAAAAAAGAACGACACACUUGAGAGCCCCUGGUAUGGUUAAGCCGCAUUCUGGGCCUAUCGUGGUCGUGCCCCUCCCCCUAUGCCCAUGGUAUCUCCAGAGCGUAAUGAUGUACGCGAAGGACCUGUCUUGAAAUUUUGCAGGGGUUAGGGUUGGGGCCGCAUUGCUACGCGUGCUCGGAACGUGCCAGGUGGUCUUGUUGUAGGUUACUCCGGGCGCGUUUAGCCGUGUCCGGUCGCUUAACGGCCGGACUCGAGAAUUGCCUUAAGAGGCUGCACUGUACUUCUGCCGCGAGAGCCGCUGUAUGUUCUUCCAUUCGAAGAGAGCGUUCAGUGUUUCCGUUGACCGUGAUGACUCCUCGAGGGCCUGGCAUCUUGAGCUUGAGGUAUGCGUAGUGCAGCACCGCGUUGAACUUUGCAAGCGUGGUACGUCCGAGCAGAGCAUGAUAGCCGUUGCGGAACGGAACUAUGUCGAAGAUUAACUCCUCGCUUCGGAAGUUAUCCGGGGAUCCGAAGACCACUUCCAGUGUAACUGAGCCUGUACAAUUGGCCUCUACACCUGGUAUGACGCCUUUAAAGGUCGUCUUUGUAGGCUUAAUCCUUGAGGGGUCUAUGCCCAUUUUGCGCACUGUAUCCUGAUAAAGCAGGUUCAGGCUGUUGCCGCCGUCCAUCAGGACUCUGGUGAGGUGAAAUCCAUCGACGAUUGGGUCUAAAACCAAUGCGGCGAAUCCGCCGUGGUGGAUGCUGGUGGGGUGGUCCCUUCGAUCAAAAGUGAUCGGGCAGGAGGACCAUGGAUUUGAACUUCGGGGCAACUGGCUCCAUCGCGUAUACAUCCCUGAGUGCACGCUUCCGCUCCCUUUUGGGUAUGUGGGUUGCGUAUAUCAUGUUCACCGUCCGCACUUGUGGGGGGAAACCCUUCUGUCCUCUAUUGUUCGGCGGUCGGGUCUCUUCCUCGUCAUCGCUAUGCAGCCCCUUGUCGUUGUUUUCGGCAAUUAACUUGCCUGCCUGCUUGAAUACCCAACAGUCCCUGUUGGUGUGGUUAGCUGGCUUUUCGGGAGUGACGUGUAUCUGGCACGAGCGGUUGAGUAUUCGGUCCAAAUUGGACGGACCCGGAGUAGUUCUUUUGAAUGGCUUUUUCCGCUGACCGGGUUUAGAGCCUCUGAAUCCGGCAUUGACUGCCGUAUCCUCACUAUUGUCGCUGUUAAUGCGGCGUUUGUUUUUGUUGCGACGCGACCUGCCAUUGCGGUCCUUCAUAUCCGGACUGCCAGAAUUUUUGCUGAGGUUGUUGCUGCGGGCUAGCCAGCUGUCCUCACCCGCGCAGAAGCGGGUCAUGAGUGAUGUGAGGGCUGCCAUGGAUUUCGGCUUUUCUUGUCCUAGGUGCCGGGCAAGCCACUCAUCGCGGAUGUUAUGUUUGAAGGCCGCGAGGGCCUCCGCAUCCGGACAGUCGACGAUUUGAUUUUUCUUAGUUAGGAACCGUGUCCAGAAUUGUCUGGCCAAUUCGUCUGGCUGCUGAAUUAUAUGGCUUAGGUCAUCAGCGUCAGGUGGUCGCACAUACGUGUCUUGGAAGUUAUCGAGGAAUGCGGCUUCUAGGUCUUCCCAACUCCCAAUUGACUCUGCUGGCAAGCUGUUAAGCCAAUGCCGGGCUGGUCCUUUAAGCUUGAGUGGGAGGUAUUUGACGGCGUGAAGAUCAUCACCGCGGGCCAUGUGGAUAUGAAGGAGAUAGUCUUCGAUCCAAACCGCGGGGUCUGUUGUGCCAUCAUAAGAUUCAAUAUUCACGGGUUUAAACCCUUCGGGGAUUUGAUGAUCCAUUACUUCAUCUGUGAAGCAUAGUGGGUGUGCGGCGCCUCUGUAUUGGGCGAUAUCAUGACGAAGUUCAAAAGAGUUUUGUCUACUGUGUUCGGCCCGGCCGGACUUACUGCGACGGUUGUCGUCACGUAUCAUGGGGCGCCCACGCGAUCCAUAGAUUGAUCUUGAUUGUCUUGCCUUAUCCUCCAAUAUAUCUCACAAGUCCAGAGCGUUCCCCUGUGGCCUUGUGCUUUUCGAGCGAUGCCGGGGUACGGUUCUAGUGGAGGACCUAGAGGCCUCUCUGUCGCAGCCACGGGGUGGUCGGUCAGCCGUAUUGUCUGCUGGUGAUGCAGGUUCAUAUGCCUCCUCCUCUAAUCGGGGGAGCAGCUUGUGUUUAGGGUAGCUUUUGGAGGGGCGUUCGAGCUCAUGCUCUUCGGCCGCAAGGACUUUCAGUCCAUCUGUCGGCUAGCAGAUCUUGAUCAGCUCUAAGCUGCUGCUGCUUUUUCUUGAGGCUGUUUGCCAUGGCCAUAAGCCUGCGUUUAAAACGCUCUUGUUCAACGGGAUCCUCAGGCACGAUGAAUUUGUCGUCGUCGAGGCUUGCCUCGUCUCCGGAGGGAGGCAUGUAAUCCUCUACCUCUUCGUCUACUGCUCUCUCAUGAGGGCUAGCAUCUCCGUCCUCCUGUGCUGAAUCUUGCAGGAGGGGGUUGUCUUCGGCAUUGUCUGGGGUGUUAUUAUCUCUGGUGCCGGAAUCUCCAUUCUUGCUGUGGCGGGAUUUAGAGCGGCGCCGCUGACGCCGGCGCUUGGGCUGUUUCUUGGAGGGGUCAUCCUCCGCUGUUCCUUCGCAAUUCCCGUCCUUUGGGAUAUCCACCAUGUAUAUGUCAUAUGAUGAGGUGGCUUUCCAGUGCCCAGUAGGCGCUGGUUCUUGGUCGUCUCCGGCAUUGUCGUCCAUACCGUUGAUGUCUUUGGAGUCGAAGUCUAGCAUGUCGGUUAGAUCGUCGAUAGUGGCUACUAAGUGGGUGGUGGGUGGGCUUUGAAUUUCUUUGUCGUCCGCAUCCCAACCGUCCUGACCGUAGUCUGGCAAGGGCUCUCCUGAUAACGAGAGAUACUUUAGCGAACUCAAGAUGUCGCUGAAAGGUGAGUGUUGAAAGAUGUCCGCAGCGGUGAAUUCCAUGAUCGGCGCCCAAUCGGAUUCGAUUGGAGGGGGCGCGGGAGGUUCGGAGUCCGGCGAGGAGUCCGGCACCUCGGAGUCACGAGAUUCAUGAGGGACAAGGUCAGUGUUCGGCUCCAUCGUCGUGGAGGUUGCAGCCCCUGAGGCGGUGUCUAGCCACCCGUCCUCGAUCUGCACAGCCGGCUCCGAAUUAAGGAUCGGAGCGGACUCGUGUGCAGCCUCCAGAGCACUGUCCGGCUGCAGAGCUAAAUCAUGCCCAUCGUGACAGUGCGGCGCGUUCGGCUGUGGAUCGAAUCCAUCGAAGAUCAAGUCUCCGCGGAUGUCAGCCGUGAAGUUCAAACUUCCCAAUCUGACCUGACAGCCAGGGGCGUAGCUUUCGAUCUGCUCCAGAUGGCCAAGCGAAUUGGCACGCAGUGCAAAGCCACCGAAUACGAAGAUCUGUCCGGGGAGAAAGGUCUCACCCUGGACUGCGUCAUUGUUGAUGAUCGAAGAAGCCAUCGGGCCUAUCGGUGAUGACACAGAGGAAGUCUCAGUGAAAGCACCAAUGUCGGUGUCAAAACCGGCGGAUCUCGGGUAGGGGGUCCCGAAUUGUGCGUCUAGGCGGAUGGUAACAGGAGACAAGGGACACGAUGUUUUACCCAGGUUCGGGCCCUCUUGAUGGAGGUAAAACCCUGCGUCCUGCUUGAUUGAUAUUGAUGAUGUGGGUAUUACAAGAGUAGAUCUACCACGAGAUCAAGGAGGCUAAACCCUAGAAGCUACCCUAUGGUAUGAUUGUUGUUCGUCCUAUGGACUAAAGCCAUCCGGUUUAUAUAGACACCGGAGAGGGCUAGGGUUACACAGAGUCGGUUACAAUGGUAGGAGAUCUACAUAUCCGUAUUGCCAAGCUUGCCUUCCACGCCAAGGAAAGUCCCAUCCGGACACGGGACGAAGUCUUCAAUCUUGUAUCUUCAUAGUCUUGGAGUCCGUCCGAUGAUGAUAUUUCGGCUAUCCGGACACCCCUAGUCCAGGACUCCCUCAGAGAGGUUGGGGAAGACUCCGUCCAGCAGCAGCACAACAGCGUGGUGGUGAUGGAGGAGCGUGGUAUUCCAGCAGGGCUUCACCAAGCACCGCGAGAGAUGAGGAGAAAGAGAGGUAGGGCUGCGCCAGGGAGAGGUGGAAACUCUUGUGUAUGGCAGCCCCAAAACCUCAAGUAUAUAUAGGGGAGAGGGAGGGGCUGCGCCCCCUUAGGGUUCCCACCCCAAGGGGUGCGGCUGCCCCAAAAACCCAUCUAGGGUGGCGGCCAAGGGGGGGGGGAGAGGGGAAACUUUCCCCCCAAGUAAGGUGGGUGCGCCCCCCUCCCCAAACCCUAGGCGCCUUGGGCCCUUGUGGGGGCGCACCAGCCCACCUGGGGCUGGUCCCCUCCCACACUUGACCCAUGCAGCCCUCUGGGGCCGGUGGCCCCACUUGGUGGACCCCUGGGAUCCUCCCGGUGGUCCCGGUACGUUACCGAUAACACCCGAAACCUUUCCGGUGACCAAAACAGGACUUCCCAUAUAUAAAUCUUUACCUCCGGACCAUUCCGGAACUCCUCGUGACAUCCUGGAUCUCAUCCGGGACUCCGAACAACAUUCGGUAACCACGUAUAUCUAUUCCCUAUAACCCUAGCGUCAUCGAACCUUAAGUGUGUAGACCCUACGGGUUCGGGAACCAUGCAGACAUGACCGAGACGUUCUCCGGUCAAUAACCAACAGCGAGAUCUGGAUACCCAUGUUGGCUCCCACAUGUUCCAUGAUUAUAUCAUCGGGUGAACCACGAUGUCAAGGACUCUAUCAAUCCCGUAUUCAAUUCCCUUUGUCUAGCGGUAUUGUACUUGCCCGAGAUUCGAUCGUUGGUAUGCCGAUACCUUGUUCAAUCUCGUUACCGGCAAGUCUCUUGUCAGGACCCCGACUCGAUGUCACAUCGAUCUAGUCGGUAACACCUCAUAUCACUUUGCGGCCUCACGCACGGUAUCCCCACGGGUGUCGCCUUACCUUUGCCCGGGACCGUUUGCGCCUUUUGGCUCACGUAUAUGAUAGUGUCGCUAGCAUCCAUAUGAUAAGGAGCCCGGGCUGACAUGACUAGCCGUAAAUCCAAAGUGGCACAGACUUACAGGGACAGGCAUCCAUGACCCAGCUUCGAACGUGUCGGUCAUCAGCAAGUGGGUCCGGGCUGUAGCACUGGGCUAGCAGGACUCCGGUAAACCGGGCUGUAGCGGGCUAACAGGACUCCGGUACUCAAUGCGUGACAUUUCCCCGAAGGGACAGACACAGGAUCGAAGAAGGACACAUGCCGGCCAGCCUAGGUGUUCCAGAGCAGUAGCAAGCUACCAUGGCUCAGCGGUAACACUAGGAGACAUUUCCCGGUAAGAGAGGCUACUAAAGAUAAACAACUAGAUAGUCAGAUCCCACACAUACCAAGCAUUUCAAUCAUACACACAAUAUGCUCGAUAUGUGCAAAUACAACGAAGCAUCACAACAUGACUCUACGACACAAGUACUUUAUUUAAGGCUCAGGGAGCCAUACAUAACAUACACAGAGGAACGGGUCUCACGACCCAGCAUUCAAGUCAUACAGUCAUACAAACCAGCAGCGGAAGUAACUUGUCUGAGUACAGACAACUAGUAAAAUAAAAGAGGCUUGGAAAGCCUAGCUAUACUAUGUGGUCCUUCACAAGCUCAGGAUCACCACCUGGGCCUUUAGCCUACUCAUUGAUGUCAACGUCUACAUAGAACCCAUCAGAAGGGGUUGCAGCGUCUUCUGUAAAAAUGUAAAUUAUAGCAACAUGAGUACAAAGGUACUCAGCAAGACUUACAUCAGAUCCUACAUACAUGCAUAUUAUCAAGAAGGGUUGGUGGAGUUAUUGCAGCAAGCCAGCUUUGACUCUUGGCUAGACUAUCCUACGAUACUCCAACUUGAAAUGGUUUUGCGCACACGAGUCCACUACUCACCACUUCAAUACACUACCGAGGAUCCACCUCCGUCUUCCUACGGAAGAGCCAUCCUCGGCACUCACACUUAUCUUGAGGCUUUUAGCAGUUUCCAUUUACUUGUCUAUGAACUGUAUAGGCAACCAAGUAGUCCUUUACCGCGGACGCGGCUAUUCGAAUAGAUUAUGAUAACCCUGCAGGGGUGUACUUCUUCAUACAUGUUUCCACCACUUAGCGUCUGCACAUGACAUGUGCUCGGCAGACUUCAAGCGAAAGCCGACGUGGGUGUAGACCACGACCUACCUAAACACUUAAGCCUCUAGUCCAGGUGUAUCGCCUAUUCAGGUUCCAUCCGCAGGGAGUCCGGCCGAGGUUUCCCAUACGGCCCCGAACGAUGUGAACAGGGUUCCCGAGAUACCUAACGGGUAUUCGGUACACCCGGCCACGUACCUACCGCAUCACAGCCCACCCCUACGGUCAGCGCUGUCCACGGCCUCCAGUAGGCUACAAACACCAGAAACUACUUGCAACUCCUGGACAGAGAGCUAGGGUGAAUAAGAAGUCGAGCGGGGUCAUAUUUCAGGGCCCAAUGCAUGGUAGUAGCUGUAUCUUAAAUCACACAUACAGAUCUCAGUGCUUAAGGUCGGCUUCAAUGAAACAACCCACCAUGUACUCCUACAUGGCCUCUCAUCGAUACCUUUACCAAAUCGUGUUCACCACACCACUCUCAUUACCGACAUAAUCAUUUCACUCUAGCCCAUCACCCAGAUGAACCAGACCUGACAUGACUCUAAGCAUAGCAGGCAUAGCAAGGUAGGAACAACACAUACAUAUGGCUCAUACAACUCCUACACAUGCUAGUGGGUUUCAUCUAGUUACUGUGGCAAUGACAGGUCAUGCAGAGGAAAUGGGUUCAACUACCGUAGCACACAGCAGUUUGAAACGCGUUGUCUUAAUGCAGUAAAAGAGAGCAGGAGCGAGAACAUGGGAUUGUAUCGGUAUGAUCAAAUGGUUGGUUGCUUGCCUGAUGGUUCGAUGCACUGAUACGGUUCUUCGUUAGGGUAAUCACGGUACUCCUCGGAGGCAGAACCUGUCGCAAAGGACACCGAUACACAACCAUCACCAAACAAUGUGCAACAAUAUGAUGCAUGCAUGAAACAUGGCAAUAUGAGUGUGUUGAGCUAAUGCAACUAAAACCAGAAGGGUUUGAACCAAUUUGAAUCAAAGAUUCAAAUUUCAAACUCAAACAUGGCCUUUUAAAGUGCUUUUCCUUGUUCUGCAUUAAACAUCAAGUUAACUUGUUUAGUCAUGCAUGAAAAUAGUACAGAUGGAUAGAUUGGAUUUUUCUGAUCAUUUUUCAUAUAUAAUUUGUCUGAUUUGGAGUUACAGAAUAAAAGUUAUGAAUUUUUGAAGUUUAAAUAAUAUUCUGGAAUUUCCUGAUUUAAUUUAAAUCCAGAAAUAUAUAUAUUGCACCAGCAUGACGUCAGCAUGACAUCAGUGGUCAACUGCGGCUGGCUGGGGUCAAACCUGACGUGUGGGGUCCACACGUCAGUGACAGGGGGGUUUAACAGGGUUAAUUUAAUCCUAAUUAGGAAUUAGUGGUGCUGGGGCCCACUGGUCAGUGUUAGGGGGUUAACUAACAGUGAUUAGCACUAAUCUGACCACCUGGCCGACGGGGCCCACGCGUCAGUGACCCUGGGGGGGUCAAACCCCAGGUCGAACAGGUCAAACCCACCGGCGACAUGACGCCGGCGAGGCCCGAGACGGCGGCGCGAUACGGAAACGCGCUACAGGGCACGGGCGAGGCCGUGCUUGGGCUCGUUGGAGAGCCCUUGCUCCCGCGCGUCGAACGGUGGUGGUGGCCGUGCCUGUGGUGGCCGGUACCGACGACGGCGAGCUCGUGAGCGGCGGCCGGAGUUCGGGUGGUGGCGGGUUUGGCGCUACGAGCGGUAGUUUGGCGCGCUGAGGGCACUAGGGAGAAGCCCUUGCUUCUCCGCAUCCAAAGGAACGGACGGGAGGCCGCGAGGUGGCCGGAGUUGAGCACGGCGUCGACCUUGGCGGCGGCCGGAGCUCGGGCGAGCUCGGAGUCGGUGUUAGGGAGCUCGGCAGGGGGCAAAGGGGGGUGUUACGACCUCCUGGGGUUGCACUGAGCACGGCCGCGUGCUCGGUUGCAGCUCUAGGCAACGGUGGCUACGGCGGCGACAUCGCCGGCGGCGUGGAGUUCUCGGCCAAGACGGGGUUAAGGCCUAGAGGUCGAAAGAGACCAGGGGAGAAGGGGAAAACGACUCGGGGGCUCACCGUGAGUCCGUUUGGAGGGUCAGUGGGCUCGAGGGCGGCCGGAGUGCAGCGAAUCGACGGCGACGAUCUCCGGUGGCCGAGGAGGGGAACGGUGACGUGGGCGGCGAUGCAGGGCUUCUGGAGGGCCGUGGAUCGGUGGGGAGGAAGAGGGGGUCGAGGCGGAGCUCGCAAGCACAGCGAGGGGUCGAGGGGGUGGCCGGUGACGGCUGCUAUGGCAAACGGCGGCGAUGGGUGCGUCGGGUGAGAGAGAGAGCAGGGGGAGAAGCACGGGAGAGAGGGGGGGAUAAGGCCAGGGGAUCGGGGCGGCACCGAGAAGAACCGUCGCGGCGUCGCGCUGGCGGGGUAGGCAGGCACGCGAGCUGGUGGCGUGGCGCUCCGCCCGUGCGUGCGCGCCGGCCACACGCCUGGCCGACUGGCGCCAGGAGGACGACGGCGGUGGUGGGCUGGGCUGGCUUGCUGGGUCAGAGGCGCCAGGUAAGAAGCCCAGGUAAGGUUUCCCUCUUUUAUUUAUUUCUGUUUUCUAAUUUCUGACAUUUGUUUUGAUUUAAAUAAAAUAUUAAAUCAUUUUAUUACCUUAUGCCAAUUUUUGCAGGAGCUAGAUAUAUUAUUCCAGAGCUCCCCAACAGGUGGCAUAAUUUUUGGACAUAUAUUAAUAUAUAUAACUAAUAUAUUUCCAAUGCAAAUAUUAAUGCAUUAAUUCCAAAUGCCCAAAAUAAAUACCUAUGAGCUCUGAAAAAUAUUGGUUUGAUUUUUAUCUCUGUCCAAUAUUUUCAGAGAGCAACAUGAGCAUUUUCUUGGACCCUUUUGGAGAAAUUUUUAUUUGGGUCAUUUUCAAAAAUGAUUCCGAGGGUUUCACAAAUCCCCAUUUCAAAAUUAAAUGGAAUUUUAAACAUGAUGCACACACUCUGAUGCAUGACUAGCUAGGGUGUGACAACUCACCCCCACUCAAAAGAAUCUCGUCCCGAGAUUUGGGUUCCUCCGGGAAGAAGGCGGGAUACUCGAGUCGAAGACGAUCCUCCCUUUCCCAAGUUGCUUCAUCCUCAGAAUGGUGCGACCAUUGUACUUUGAGAAACUUGAUAUUAUGACGUCGAGUGGUACGUUCGGCCUGAUCGAGGAUACGAACGGGGUACUCUCGAUAUGUAAGAUUAUCUUGGACAUCAAGCGUUUCGUGGUCUACUCCACGGAUAGGAUCCGAGAAGCAAUGCCUGAGUUGAGAAACAUGGAAGACAUCGUGGACUCUGGAGAGGUGCGGAGGUAGUUCCAACUGGUAGGCAACUUCUCCUUGUUUGGCGAGAAUGCGAAAAGGUCCAAUGUAACGAGGAGCCAAUUUGCCUUUGAUACCGAAACGAUGGGUUCCCUUCAGAGGGGUGACCCGAAGAUAAGCCUUCUCGUCAAUCUCGAAAGUCAUAGCCUUAUGUUUUCGGUCAUAUUGACUCUUUUGACGAGAUUGGGCUGUUUUCAACUUUUCACGAACGAUAUGAACUUGCUCUUCUGCUUCCUGAAUCAUAUCCGGGCCAAAGAAUUGUCUUUCCCCGGUCUCUGACCAGUUAAGGGGUGUUCGACACCGUCGUCCAUAGAGAACUUCAAAAGGGGCUUUACCCAAGCUAGAUUGAUAGCUGUUGUUGUAAGCGAAUUCGGCAAAUGGAAGGCACUUCUCCCAGUUCAUUCCGAAUGAGAUAAUAGAGGCUCGAAGCAUGUCUUCUAGAAUCUGGUUGACGCGUUCCACUUGACCACUCGACUGAGGGUGGAAGGCGGUGCUAAAGGAGAGACGGGUUCCCAUAGCAUUUUGGAAGCUUUCCCAAAAUCGAGAGGUGAAAAGACUUCCUCGAUCCGAGUUAAUUUCCAAAGGAACACCAUGGAGGGACACUAUUCGGGAGAGGUAUAAGUCUGCCAGCUGGCUAGCGGUUAUACUCUCAUGAACAGGUAAGAAAUGGGCUACUUUGGAAAGACGAUCGACAACGACGAAGAUAGCAUUAUUCCCUCUCCUGGUCCUGGGAAAACCGGUAAUGAAAUCCAUACCAAUUUUAUCCCAUUUCCAUUCAGGAAUAGCUAGGGGUUGAAGGGUGCCAGCAUGCCGUUGAUGCUCUGCUUUUACACGACGAUAGACGUCGCAAUUAGCAAUAUACUGAGCAAUUUCUCUCUUCAUCCUAGUCCACCAGAACCUCUGGCGUAGGUCCUGAUACAUCUUAGUACUACCGGGAUGAAUGGUGAGAGGAGAUUCAUGAGCCUCCUUAAGGAUCAACUGCCGUAGAUGCUGGUUCUUGGGAACCACUAGACGGUUCUCAAAGUACACAACACCAUGAUCAUUUGUGGAGAAACAACUAGCACCUCCGCUAGCAAAGUUCUCUUUGAUUUUAGAUAUUCCCUUAUCUCGCUUUUGGGCAGCGAUGAUUUGAUCCGUAAGAGUAGGUUUUGCCACCAAGGUGGAAAGAAAACCUUGAGGAACAAUGUGAAGGUUAAGCUUCCGAAAUUCCUCAUGGAGAAGCGGUUGACUUUGUUGUAACAUCAGGUUGUUACAAUAAGAUUUACGACUUAGCGCAUCAGCCAUGACGUUGGCUUUCCCUGGGGUGUAGGUUAUUCCUAAGUCAAAGUCUGUGAUCAACUCAACCCAACGUCUUUGCCUGAGAUUCAGAUCCGGUUGGGUGAAAAUGUACUUCAGACUUUGGUGAUCAGUGAAUAUUUCGCAACGGUUACCGAGGAGGUAAUGUCGCCAGGUCUUGAGUGCAUAGACUACGACUGCAAGCUCUAGAUCAUGAGUAGGAUAAUUCUCCUCAUGUGGGUGCAAUUGCCGUGAAGCGUAGGCAAUUACGUGUCGAUCUUGCAUGAGAAUGCAACCUAGUCCUUGUCGCGAGGCGUCGCAGUAGAUAACAAAGUCCUUGGAGAAAUCUGGCGGUACCAGUACGGGAGCAGAGGUCAGGCGUCUUUUCAGUUCCUGAAAGCUGUGCUCACAUUGUGGAGUCCAUUCGAACUUCUUAUCUUUCUUGAGGAGUUCGGUUAGAGGUUUGGCAACUUUGGAGAAGUUUUCGACGAAGCGACGGCAAUAGCUCGCUAAGCCCAGAAAACUCCGAACUUGCUUGACCGAUUCAGGUGGAGUCCAAUUAAGGACGGCUUGAACUCGCUCAGGGUUAACAGCAAUACCUUUACCAGAUAUUACAUGACCCAGAUAGGUCACUUCUGACAACCAAAAUUCACAUUUGGAAAACUUGGCAUAAAGGCGGUGCUCUCGAAGUUUCUUCAACACUAGCCUUAGAUGUUCGGCAUGUUCUUCCUCGUUCUUGGAGUAGAUGAGUAUAUCAUCGAGAUAAACUACGACGAAUUUAUCCAAAUACUCCAUGAAGAUUGAGUUCAUUAACCGAGAAAAGGUGGCUGGAGCGUUGGUUAAGCCGAAGGACAUGACGGUGUACUCGUAUUGGCCAUAACGAGUAACAAAGGCCGUUUUAGGAAUGUCCCUAUUUCUGAUUUUGAUUUGAUGGUAGCCCAACCUCAAAUCCAUCUUGGAGAAGACUGAGGAUCCAGCGAGCUGAUCAUACAGGUCGUUGAUCCUGGGAAGCGGAUAUUUGUUCUUGAUUGUGACCAAAUUGACAGGUCGGUAAUCUACAACCAUCCGGUCCGUACCAUCCUUCUUCUUGACGAAUAGGACGGGGCAAGCCCACGGAGAUGAACUAGGGCAGAUGAAACCCUUUUUCAAGGACUCAUCGAGUUGUUUCUUAAGCUCGGCUAGUUCUAGUGGUGCCAUCUUAUAAGGUCUUCUAGCAAUCGGAACGGUUCCUGGAAUGAGGUCUAUUACGAACUCAACAUCCCUGUCGGGUGGAACACCUGGCAAUUCCUCUGGGAAGACAUCCGGAAAGUCACGGACUACCGGAAUGUCCUCAAGGUCUGGCAAAGGGCUGGCGUUAAGAGAAUAUAAUUGUCGCUUGGCUAUUCGGGUCAAGACAUUGACUAUCUUCCCCGAAGGGUGGGUGAGUUGAACAGUCCUAGAGAAGCAAUCAAUUUGGGCAUGAUGAGCCGACAUCCAGUCCAUACCCAGAAUGAUAUUAAUAUCUGAAGAUUUAAGGGCUAUCAACGAUGCAAGGAAAACAAGUCUGUCGACUUGGAUUUCAUUUCCAUAACUUACCCUAGAGGUCUGCCAUCUAGAACCAGGAGUAGAAAUUUCCAUAGUGGAUGGCAUGUCACAGAAUGCGGUGUUAUGCAAACGAGCAUAGUUCUCGGAUAUAAAUGAAUGAGAGGCUCCUGUAUCGAAAAGAACAGAUGCCGGGUGGCAAUUAACAAGGAGCGUACCGAGAACGACGUUGGGAUCCUCUUGAGCUUCUUCGGCAGAGAUACAAUUGACAUGGCCACAUGAGGCGGUGGCCGGCUUGGCGUGGAACACUUUUCCUGUCGGCUUGCCACGGCCAACAGCUUUAGCAGACUGGUUGGGGUUGGUCUGGGGACACUCACGCAUAUAGUGGCCAGAUUCCCCACACUUGAAACAAGUCAAGGAACUGGUACGUGGAGGAGCAUUGUUGGUUGGACCCCCAUAGGGCUUGGCCGGUGCAGACUGUUGAACAGGGCGAGGCGCCUGGAAAGAUGGCCUCGGUGUGAACCUGGGUGGCAGGGCGGUGUUGGGCACCCACACGCGGCGCUUCUGAGGACCAGCACCGGAUGAGGAACCCAUGUCACGGCCAUGCUUGCGUGUUGCGUCAUAGUCAGUCUGACCAGUUUCAGCACUGAUGGCUUUGUUGACAAGUUUCUGAAAAGAUGUGCACUCAUGCAGACGGAGGUCACGGCGAAGCUCAGGACUAAGUCCCUUACGGAACCUUGCUUGCUUCUUGGCGUCAGUAGAAACUUCCUCGGUUGCAUAUCGUGCGAGGUUACCAAACUCCCUGCUGUAAGCAUCCACAGAAAGUCGGCCCUGAGUGAAACUGCAAAAUUCCUCACGUUUACGGUCCAUGAGACCCUCCGGAAUGUGAUGUUCACGGAAAGCCUCGCUGAACUCAUCCCAAGUAGUGACAUGGCCCGCUGGGCGCAUAGCUCCAUAAUUCUCCCACCAUAGACUGGCGGGGCCUUCAAGAUGAUAUGCAGCAAAGUGACCUUGUCGGCCUCAGCUACUAGCGCGGAACGCAGCUUGUGAGAGAUACUGCGAAGCCAGUCAUCAGCGUCGAGAGGCUCGACGGAGUGGUGGAACGUGGGUGGAUGUAACUUGAUGAAAUCACCGAGUGACACCACGUUAGUCCUCUGAUGGUGUGCUGUGUUCUGUUCAAUACGCUCCAACAAACGGUUGGUCUCCCGCUUGUUUCUUUCGGCUUCCAUCAUAACCUCGGCUAGGGAAGGAGGAUGAGGCAGAUUUGCAUCCCUGACUUCACUGCCUUCGGCCUGCUCUUGAGGAGCAGGGUUAGCGCACGUGUUGACCAUCCUAGGUAAACAAGACAAUGAUUUAGUCAGGAUGAUAAAAUUCCGACAUAGGAUAUAAAAUGUAAGGAAUAACUCGAAAUGCAAGAUGAUCAUCCGUAUGACAUGGUAAAUACAGAAACUGCUUCUUUAUCCCAUCGUCAUACACACCAUACAGGGUUUAGUACAAGACCAAACAAAGUACUAUUACGGUGAAAAGAGGAUUACAUCUCAUCGGAGGCAUUCCAAGCUCCUAUACAUUAUUUUUCUACUCCUCCGGAAAGAGUACAAACUAGGUCAUAUCCCACGAGUCACGCAGGACGAUAGACGACACAGCUAGUGCGAACUAGUGAUACUACCACUAACUCAGACCGAUCCGUAGUAGUCCUCGUAGAAGUCACCUCCAUAGCCUGGAAGCUCAACAUGAUCAUCCGGAAACAGACGAUCUCGCGGAGCUUCUGGACCAUAGGGGCUAGGAUGAGGUCUUGGACCAACAGACGGUGGCCUGCGGGGACCGCGAGGUGGGGUGAUGCCUCCUACAUCACGCCAACCCAUCACGUCUGGCAGAGUAGAUCUCACAGGAUAGAGAUCGCGCAUAUCCGAAUAUCCAGCUUGCACCGCCGGUGCGAACCGAGUCAAUGUGGCCCAGUGGUCAGCACGGGUAUUGAAGAGCUCUAACCUCAAGGCCCGAUUUUCACGGUCCUUAUCCUCGAGCAUCUCAGCAGUGGUGCGAGUCCGUGAAUCCUCCUGGGUGGGGUCAGCAUAGAUAGCCUGGAGAUACCCUUGUGCUCCCGGAAGUGAUCCUGGCAUAUACCGGAAAUCAGAGUCCCGAAAUAGACCAGAUCUGACUCGCAUGAUGGUCAUCAUAGAGUAGGCGGCGUCCUGCACAGCCAUCUCAAUAGUAACCCCGAGUCCAUAGGAGCAGUGAAGGGGCUCGGUGGAUCCAGGAUAAGAUGGAAAUAUCCUGACAGUGCAGAGAUACUGGCUUUGAUUAAAGUCCCGAAAUUGCUCUUCGACCGUGUACUCAGGAUACCAGCGGUAUCCAGCCUUAGUCAUUACCCUGACCAACUUGGCAGUAUGGCCGGGUACAUCUAGGCAUCGAGUCAGGCGAACCACUUGAUUGAGGUCGCGAGUGGCCAUCUGAAAGCAUAAUCAUAAUGCAAAGGCAUUAGAAUUUCUAGCAAAAUUUCGGCAGCAUAACAGCUGUAAAUGCUCAAAAAGGAUUUUGAGACAUUUGACAAAGGAUUUCAUACACACUCAACAUCAUCAUAUCAAAUUCUGAGUCCAUACUAGCAACAUAAUAUGGUAGAAGAACUGAACUAGGCUUGUAUCCAUCAAACCUAUAAGGUACUACUGAUUAGUAACACGUGAUCCUGAUAGAGAGAACAGAUCCUAAUUCCUUAACCCCCGGUGGAAGAAUAGACUGACUCAGAUCAGAAUGUCAUAAGAUAAAGGAGUAAAAAGAGCCUCACGUUCCAACCCACAAACAAUUCCCCUACAUAUAACUAAAGAAUUUCUAGACUCAACAUCGACCAGUUUGGCUUGGAGAACCUACAGGCAGUCCGGCUCUGAUGCCAACGCUGUCAGGACCCCGACUCGAUGUCACAUCGAUCUAGCCGGUAACACCUCAUAUCACUUUGCGGCCUCACGCACGGUAUCCCCACGGGUGUCGCCUUACCUUUGCCCGGGACCGUUUGCGCCUUUUGGCUCACGUAUAUGAUAGUGUCGCUAGCAUCCAUAUGAUAAGGAGCCCGGGCUGACAUGACUAGCCGUAAAUCCAAAGUGGCACAGACUUACAGGGACAGGCAUCCAUGACCCAGCUUCGAACGUGUCGGUCAUCAGCAAGUGGGUCCGGGCUGUAGCACUGGGCUAGCAGGACUCCGGUAAACCGGGCUGUAGCGGGCUAACAGGACUCCGGUACUCAAUGCGUGACAUUUCCCCGAAGGGACAGACACAGGAUCGAAGAAGGACACAUGCCGGCCAGCCUAGGUGUUCCAGAGCAGUAGCAAGCUACCAUGGCUCAGCGGUAACACUAGGAGACAUUUCCCGGUAAGAGAGGCUACUAAAGAUAAACAACUAGAUAGUCAGAUCCCACACAUACCAAGCAUUUCAAUCAUACACACAAUAUGCUCGAUAUGUGCAAAUACAACGAAGCAUCACAACAUGACUCUACGACACAAGUACUUUAUUUAAGGCUCAGGGAGCCAUACAUAACAUACACAGAGGAACGGGUCUCACGACCCAGCAUUCAAGUCAUACAGUCAUACAAACCAGCAGCGGAAGUAACUUGUCUGAGUACAGACAACUAGUAAAAUAAAAGAGGCUUGGAAAGCCUAGCUAUACUAUGUGGUCCUUCACAAGCUCAGGAUCACCACCUGGGCCUUUAGCCUACUCAUUGAUGUCAACGUCUACAUAGAACCCAUCAGAAGGGGUUGCAGCGUCUUCUGUAAAAAUGUAAAUUAUAGCAACAUGAGUACAAAGGUACUCAGCAAGACUUACAUCAGAUCCUACAUACAUGCAUAUUAUCAAGAAGGGUUGGUGGAGUUAUUGCAGCAAGCCAGCUUUGACUCUUGGCUAGACUAUCCUACGAUACUCCAACUUGAAAUGGUUUUGCGCACACGAGUCCACUACUCACCACUUCAAUACACUACCGAGGAUCCACCUCCGUCUUCCUACGGAAGAGCCAUCCUCGGCACUCACACUUAUCUUGAGGCUUUUAGCAGUUUCCAUUUACUUGUCUAUGAACUGUAUAGGCAACCAAGUAGUCCUUUACCGCGGACGCGGCUAUUCGAAUAGAUUAUGAUAACCCUGCAGGGGUGUACUUCUUCAUACAUGUUUCCACCACUUAGCGUCUGCACACGACAUGUGCUCGGCAGACUUCAAGCGAAAGCCGACGUGGGUGUAGACCAUGACCUACCUAAACACUUAAGCCUCUAGUCCAGGUUUAUCGCCUAUUCAGGUUCCAUCCGCAGGGAGUCCGGCCGAGGUUUCCCAUACGGCCCCGAACGAUGUGAACAGGGUUCCCGAGAUACCUAACGGGUAUUCGGUACACCCGGCCACGUACCUACCGCAUCACAGCCCACCCCUACGGUCAGCGCUGUCCACGGCCUCCAGUAGGCUACAAACACCAGAAACUACUUGCAACUCCUGGACAGAGAGCUAGGGUGAAUAAGAAGUCGAGCGGGGUCAUAUUUCAGGGCCCAAUGUAUGGUAGUAGCUGAUUCUUAAAUCACACAUACAGAUCUCAGUGCUUAAGGUCGGCUUCAAUGAAACAACCCACCAUGUACUCCUACAUGGCCUCUCAUCGAUACCUUUACCAAAUCGUGUUCACCACACCACUCUCAUUACCAACAUAAUCAUUUCACUCUAGCCCAUCACCCAGAUGAACCAGACCUGACACGACUCUAAGCAUAGCAGGCAUAGCAAGGUAGGAACAACACAUACAUAUGGCUCAAUCAACUCCUACACAUGCUAGUGGGUUUCAUCUAGUUACUGUGGCAAUGACAGGUCAUGCAGAGGAAAUGGGUUCAACUACCGUAACACACAGCAGUUUGAAUCGCGUUGUCUUAAUGCAGUAAAAGAGAGCAGGAGCGAGAACAUGGGAUUGUAUCGAUAUGAUCAGAUGGUUGGUUGCUUGCCUGAUGGUUCGUUGCACGGAUACGGUUCUUCGUUAGGGUAAUCACGGUACUCCUCGGGGACAGAUCCUGUCGCAAAGGACAUCGAUACACAAACAUCACCAAACAAUAUGCAACAAUAUGAUGCAUGCAUGAAACAUGGCAAUAUGAGUGUGUUGGGCUAAUGCAACUAAAACCAGAAGGGUUUGAACAAAUUUGAAUCAAGGAUUCAAAUUUCAAAUUCAAAUAUGGCCUUUUAAAGUGCCUUUUCUUGUUCUGAUUAAAACAUCAACUUAACUUGUUUGAUCAUGCAUGGAAAUGGUACAGAUGGAUAGAUUGGAUUUUUCUGAUCAUUUUUCAUAUAUAAUUUGUCCAAUUUGGAGUUACAGAAUAAAAGUUAUGAAUUUUUGAAGUUUAAUUAAUAUUCUGGAAUUUCCUGAUUUAAUUCAACGCUGUCAGGACCCCGACUCGAUGUCACAUCGAUCUAGCCGGUAACACUUCAUAUCACUUUGCGGCCUCACGCACGGUAUUCCCACGGGUGUCGCCUUACCUUUGCCCGGGACCGUUUGCGCCUUUUGGCUCACGUAUAUGAUAGUGUCGCUAGCAUCCAUAUGAUAAAGAGCCCAGGCUGACAUGACUAGUUGUAAACCCAAAGUGGCACAGACUUACAGGGACAGGCAUCCAUGACCCAGCUUCGAACGUGUCGGUCAUCAGCAAGUGGGUCCGGGCUGUAGCACUGGGCUAGCAGGACUCCGGUAAACCGGGCUGUAGCGGGCUAACAGGACUCCGGUACUCAAAGCGUGACAUUUCCCCGAAGGGACAGACACAGGAACGAAGAAGGACACAUGCCGGCCAGCCUAAGUGUUCCAGAGCAGUAGCAAGCUACCAUGGCUCAGCGGUAACACUAGGAGACAUUUCCCGGUAAGAGAGGCUACUAAAGAUAAACAACUAGAUAGUCAGAUCCCACACAUACCAAGCAUUUCAAUCAUACACACAAUAUGCUCGAUAUGUGCAAAUACAACGAAGCAUCACAACAUGACUCUAUGACACAAGUACUUUAUUUAAGGCUCAGGGAGCCAUACAUAACAUUCACAAAGGUACGGUCUCACGACCCAACAUACAAGUCAUACAGUCAUACAAGCCAGCAGCGGAAGUACAUUGUCUGGGUACAGACAACUAGUAAAAUAAAAGAGGCUUGGAAAGCCUAGCUAUACUACGUGGUCCAUCACAAGCUCAGGGUCACCACCUGGGUCUUAAGCCUACUUGUUGAUGUCAACGUCUACAUAGAACCCAUCAGAAGGGGUUGCAGCGUCUUCUGUAAAAAUGUAGAUUAUAGCAACAUGAGUACAAAGGUACUCAGCAAGACUUACAUCAGAUCCUACAUACAUGCAUAGUAUCAAGAAGGGUUGGUGGAGUUAUUGCAGCAAGCCAGCUUUGACUCUUGGCUAGACUAUCCUACGAUACUCCAACUUGAAAUGUUUUGCGCACACGAGUCCACUACUCACCACUUCAAUACACUACCGAGGAUCCACCUCCGUCUUCCUACGGAAGAGCCAUCCUCGGCACUCACACUUAUCUUGAGGCUUUUAGUAGUUUCCAUUUACUUGUCUAUGAACUGUAUAGGCAACCAAGUAGUCCUUUACCGCGGACGCGGCUAUUCGAAUAGAUCAUGAUAACCCUGCAGGGGUGUACUUCUUCAUACAUGUUUCCACCACUUAGCGUCUGCACACGACAUGUGCUCGGCAGACUUCAAGCGAAAGCCGACGUGGGUGUAGACCACGACCUGCCUAAACACUUAAGCCUCUAGUCCAGGUUUAUCGCCUAUUCAGGUUCCAUCCGCAGGAAGUCCGGCCGAGGUUUCCCAUACGGCCCCGAACGAUGUGAACAGGGUUCCCGAGAUACCUAACGGGUAUUCGGUACACCCGGCCACGUACCUACCGCAUCACAGCCCACCCCUACGGUCAGCGCUGUCCACGGCCUCCAGUAGGCUACAAACACCAGAAACUACUUGCAACUCCUGGACAGAGAGCUAGGGUGAAUAAGAAGUCGAGCGGGGUCAUAUUUCAGGGCCCAAUGCAUGGUAGUAGCUGUAUCUUAAAUCACACAUACAGAUCUCAGUGCUUAAGGUCGGCUUCAAUGAAACAACCCACCAUGUACUCCUACAUGGCCUCUCAUCGAUACCUUUACCAAAUCGUGUUCACCACACCACUCUCAUUACCGACAUAAUCAUUUCACUCUAGCCCAUCACCCAGAUGAACCAGACCUGACAUGACUCUAAGCAUAGCAGGCAUAGCAAGGUAGGAACAACACAUACAUAUGGCUCAUACAACUCCUACACAUGCUAGUGGGUUUCAUCUAGUUACUGUGGCAAUGACAGGUCAUGCAGAGGAAAUGGGUUCAACUACCGUAGCACACAGCAGUUUGAAACGCGUUGUCUUAAUGCAGUAAAAGAGAGCAGGAGCGAGAACAUGGGAUUGUAUCGGUAUGAUCAAAUGGUUGGUUGCUUGCCUGAUGAUUCGAUGCACUGAUACGGUUCUUCGUUAGGGUAAUCACGGUACUCCUCGGAGGCAGAACCUGUCGCAAAGGACACCGAUACACAACCAUCACCAAACAAUGUGCAACAAUAUGAUGCAUGCAUGAAACAUGGCAAUAUGAGUGUGUUGAGCUAAUGCAACUAAAACCAGAAGGGUUUGAACCAAUUUGAAUCAAAGAUUCAAAUUUCAAACUCAAACAUGGCCUUUUAAAGUGCUUUUCCUUGUUCUGCAUUAAACAUCAAGUUAACUUGUUUAGUCAUGCAUGAAAAUAGUACAGAUGGAUAGAUUGGAUUUUUCUGAUCAUUUUUCAUAUAUAAUUUGUCUGAUUUGGAGUUACAGAAUAAAAGUUAUGAAUUUUUGAAGUUUAAAUAAUAUUCUAGAAUUUCCUGAUUUAAUUUAAAUCCAGAAAUAUAUAUAUUGCGCCAGCAUGACGUCAGCAUGACGUCAGUGGUCAACUGCGGCUGGCUGGGGUCAAACCUGACGUGUGGGGUCCACACGUCAGUGACAGGGGGGUUUAACAGGGUUAAUUUAAUCCUAAUUAGGAAUUAGUGGCGCUGGGGCCCACUGGUCAGUGUCAGGGGGUUAACUAACAGUGAUUAGCACUAAUCUGACCACCUAGCCGACGGGGCCCACGCGUCAGUGACCCUGGGGGGGUCAAACCCCAGGUCGAACAGGUCAAACGCACCGGCGACAUGACGCCGGCGAGGCCCGAGACGGCGGCGCGAUACGGAAACGCGCUACAGGGCACGGGCGAGGCCGUGCUUGGGCUCGUUGGAGAGCCCUUGCUCCCGCGCGUCGAACGGUGGUGGUGGUCGUGCCUGUGGUGGCCGGUACCGACGACGGCGAGCUCGUGAGCGGCGGCCGGAGUUCGGGUGGUGGCGGGUUUGGCGCUACGAGCGGUGGUUUGGCGCGCUGAGGGCACUAGGGAGAAGCCCUUGCUUCUCCGCAUCCAAAGGAACGGACGGGAGGCCGCGAGGUGGCCGGAGUUGAGCACGGCGUCGACCUUGGCGGCGGCCGGAGCUCGGGCGAGCUCGGAGUCGGUGUUAGGGAGCUCGGCAGGGGGCAAAGGGGGGUGUUACGACCUCCUGGGGUUGCACUGAGCACGGCCGCGUGCUCGGUUGCAGCUCUAGGCAACGGUGGCUACGGCGGCGACAUCGCCGGCGGCGUGGAGUUCUCGGCCAAGACGGGGCUAAGGCCUAGAGGUCGAAAGAGACCAGGGGAGAAGGGGAAAACGACUCGGGGGCUCACCGUGAGUCCGUUUGGAGGGUCAGUGGGCUCGAGGGCGGCCGGAGUGCAGCGAAUCGACGGCGACGAUCUCCGGUGGCCGAGGAGGGGAACGGUGACGUGGGCGGCGAUGCAGGGCUUCCGGAGGGCCGUGGAUCGGUGGGGAGGAAGAGGGGGUCGAGGCGGAGCUCGCAAGCNNNNNNNNNNNNNNNNNNNNNNNNNNNNNNNNNNNNNNNNNNNNNNNNNNNNNNNNNNNNNNNNNNNNNNNNNNNNNNNNNNNNNNNNNNNNNNNNNNNNNNNNNNNNNNNNNNNNNNNNNNNNNNNNNNNNNNNNNNNNNNNNNNNNNNNNNNNNNNNNNNNNNNNNNNNNNNNNNNNNNNNNNNNNNNNNNNNNNNNNNNNNNNNNNNNNNNNNNNNNNNNNNNNNNNNNNNNNNNNNNNNNNNNNNNNNNNNGCACAGCGAUGGGUCGAGGGGGUGGCCGGUGACGGCUGCUAUGGCGAAUGGCGGCGAUGGGUGCGUCGGGUGAGAGAGAGAGCAGGGGGAGAAGCACGGGAGAGAGGGGGGGAUAAGGCCAGGGGAUCGGGGCGGCACCGAGAAGAACCGUCGCGGCGUCGCGCUGGCGGGGUAGGCAGGCAGGCGAGCUGGUGGCGUGGCGCUCCGCCCGUGCGCGCGCGCCGGCCACACGCCUGGCCGACUGGCGCCAGGAGGACGACGGCGGUGGUGGGCUGGGCUGGCUUGCUGGGCCAGAGGCGCCAGGUAAGAAGCCCAGGUAAGGUUUCCCUCUUUUAUUUAUUUCUGUUUUCUAAUUUCUGACAUUUGUUUUGAUUUAAAUAAAAUAUUAAAUCAUUUUAUUACCUUAUGCCAAUUUUUGCAGGAGCUAGAUAUAUUAUUCCAGAGCUCCCCAACAGGUGGCAUAAUUUUUGGACAUAUAUUAAUAUAUAUAACUAAUAUAUUUCCAAUGCAAAUAUUUAUGCAUUAAUUCCAAAUGCCCAAAAUAAAUACCUAUGAGCUCUGAAAAAUAUUAGUUUGAUUUUUAUCUCUGUCCAAUAUUUUCAGAGAGCAACAUGAGCAUUUUCUUGGACCCUUUUGGAGAAAUUUUUAUUUGGGUCAUUUUCAAAAAUGAUUCUGAGGGUUUCACAAAUCCCCAUUUCAAAAUUAAAUGGAAUUUUAAACAUGAUGCACACACUCUGAUGCAUGACUAGCUAGGGUGUGACAUCUCUUUACUCGUUCCGUAACACAUCAUCCCGUGAUCAACCCCUUGGUCACAUUGUGCACAUUAUGAUGAUGUCCUACCGAGUGGGCCCAGAGAUACCUCUCCGUUACACGGAGUGACAAAUCCCAGUCUCGAUUCGUGCCAACCCAACAGACACUUUCGGAGAUACCCGUAGUGCACCUUUAUAGCCACCCAGUUACGUUGUGACGUUUGGUACACCCAAAGCAUUCCUACGGUAUCCGGGAGUUGCACAAUCUCAUGGUCUAAGGAAAUGAUACUUGACAUUAGAAAAGCUUUAGCAUACGAACUACACGAUCUUUGUGCUAGGCUUAGGAUUGGGUCUUGUCCAUCACAUCAUUCUCCUAAUGAUGUGAUCCCGUUAUCAAUGACAUCCAAUGUCCAUGGUCAGGAAACCGUAACCAUCUAUUGAUCAACGAGCUAGUUAAUUAGAGGCUUACUAGGGACAUGGUGUUGUCUAUGUACCCACACAUGUAUCUGAGUUUCCUAUCAAUACAAUUAUAGCAUGGAUAAUAAACGAUUAUCAUGAACAAGGAAAUAUAAUAAUAAUAACCAAUUUAUUAUUGCCUCUAGGGCAUAUUUCCAACAGUCUCCCACUUGCACUAGAGUCAAUAAUCUAGUUCGCAUUGCCAUGUGAUUAACACUGAUAGGUCACAUCGCCAUGUGACCAACAUCCAAAGAGUUUACUAGUGUCACUAAACUAGUUCACAUCACCAUGUGAUUAAGACUCAAUGAGUUCUGGGGUUUGAUCAUGUUUUGCUUGUGAGAGAGGUUUUAGUCAACGGGUCUGCAACAUUCAGGUCCGUAUGUAUUUCGCAAAUCUCUAGGUCAUAUUGUAAAUGCUGCUUCCACGCUCCACUUGGAGCUAUUCCAAAUGGUCGCUCCACUAUACGUAUCCGGUUUGCUACUCAGAGUCAUUCGGAUAGGUGUUAAAUCUUGCAUCAACGUAACCCUUUACGUCGAACUCUUUAUCACCUCCAUAAUCGAGAAACAUGUCCUUAUUUACUCCAAGGACAAUUUUGACCACUGUCCAAUGAUCCAUUCCUGGAUCAUUCUUGUACCCCUUGACUGACUCAUGGCAAGGCACACUUCCGGUGCGGUACACAGCAUAGCAUACUAUAGAGCCUACGUCUGAAGCAUAGGGGACGACCUUCGUCCUUUCUCUCUCUUCUGCCGUGGUCGAGCUUUAAUUCUUAACUUCAUACCUUACAACUCAGGCAAGAACUCCUUCUUUGACUGAUCCAUCUUGAACACCUUCAAGAUCAUGUCAAGGCAUGUGCUCAUUUGAAAUUACCAUUCAGCGUUUUUUUAUCUAUCCUCAUAGAUCUUGAUGCUCAAUGUUCAAGCAGCUUAAUCUAGGUUUUCUAUUGGAAAACACUUUUCAAAUAACCUUGUGUGCUUUCCAGAAAUUCUACAUCAUUUCGGAUCAACAAUAUGUCAACAACAUAUACUCAUCAGAAAUGCUAUAGUGCUCCCACUCACUUCUUUGGAAAUACAAGUUUCCCAUAAACAUUGUAUAAACCCAAAAUAUUUGAUCAUCUCAUCAAAGCGUAUAUUCCAACUCCGAGAUGCUUACUCCAAUCCUUAGAAGGAUUGCUGGAGCUUUGCACACUUGUUAGCAUCUUUCAGGAUUGACAAAACCUUCUGGUUGUAUCACAUACAACCUUUCCUCAAGGAUAUGUUCGAGGAAACAAUGUUUUGACAUCCUAUCUGCAAGAUUUCAUAAAUAAUGCAGUAACUGCUAAUCCAAUUCCAACGGACUCUUAGCAUCACUACGAGUGAGAAAGCCUCACCGUAGUCAACUCCUUGAAGUUGUCGGAAAUCAUCUUAACAACAAGUCGAGCUUUCUUAAUGGUGAUACUUACCAUCAUUGUCCGUCUUCCUUUUAAAAUCCAUCUGUACUCAACAACCUUACGACCAUCAAGUAGUUCUUCCAAAGUCUACACUUUGUAUUCAUACAUGGAUCCUCUCUCGGAUUUUAUGGCCUCUCACCAUUUGUCGGAAUCCGGGCCCACCAUUGCUUCUCCAUAGCUCGUAGGUUCAUUGUUGUCUAGCAACAUGACCUCCAAGACAGGAUUACGUACCACUAUGGAGUAAUACGUAUCUUUGUCGACCUACGAGUUUCGGUAGUGAGUUGAUCCAAAGUUUCAUGAUCACUAUCAUAAGCUUCUACUUCAAUUGGUGUAGGUGCCACAGGAACAACUUCCUGUGCCCUGCUACACACUAGUUGAAGUGAUGGUUCAAUAACCUCAUCAAGUCUCCACCAUCCUCCCACUCAAUUCUUUCGAGAGAAACUUUUCCUCGAGAAAGGACCCGUUUCUAGAAACAAUUACUCUUGCUUCCGGAUCUGAGAUAGGAGGUAUUCCCAACCAUUUUGGGUAUCCUAUGAAGAUGUAUUCAUCCGUUUUGGGUUCGAGCUUAUCAAGAUGAAACUUUUUCACAUAAGCGUCGCAGCCCCAAACUUUCAAGAAACGACAACUUAGGUUUCUCUAAACCAUAGUUCAUACGGUGUCGUCUCAACGGAAUUACGUGGUGCCCUAUUAAAGUGAGUGCGGUUGUCUCUAAUGCCUAACCCAUGAACGAUAGUGGUAAUUCGAUAAGAGACAUCAUGGUAUGCACCACAUCCAAUAGGGUGCAACUAUGAUGUUCGGACACACCAUCACACUAUGGUGUUCCAGGUGGUAUUAAUUGUGAAACAAUUUCCACAAUGUCUUAAUUGCGUGCCAAAGCUCGUAACUCAGAUACUCAUCUCUAUGAUCAUAUCAUAGACAUUUUAUCCUCUUGUCAUGAUGAUCUUCAACUUCACUCUGAAAUUACUUGAACCAUUCAAUAAUUCAGACAUGGGUUUCAUCAAGUAAAUAUACACAGUAUCUACUCAAAUCAUCCGUGAAGUAAGAACAUAACGAUAUCCACUGCGUGCCUCAGCACUCAUUGGACUGCACACAUCAAAAUGUAUUACUUCCAACAAGUUGCUUUCUUGUUCCAUUUUACUGAAAACGAGGCUUUCAGUCAUCUUGCCCAUGUGGUAUGAUUUGCAUGUCUCAAGUGAUUCAAAAUCAAGUGAGUCCAAACGGUCCAUUUGCAUGGAGUCUCUUCAUGCAUAUACACCAAUAGACAUGGUUCGCAUGUAUCAAACUCUUCAAAAAUGAGUGAGUCCGAAGAUCCAUCAACAUGGAGCUUCUUCAUGCGUUUUAUACCAAUAUGACUUACGUGGCAGUGCCACAAGUAGGUGGUACUAUCAUUACUAUCUUAUAUCUUUUGGCAUGAAAAUGUGUAUCACUAUGAUAGAGAUUCAAUAAACCAUUCUUUUAGGUGCAAGACCAUUGAAGGUAUUAUUCAAAUAAACAGAGUAACCAUUAUUCUUCUUAAAUGAAUAACCGUAUUGCGAUAGACAUAAUCCAAUCGUGUCUAUGCUCAAGGCAAACACCAAAUCUCGAUGGUAGAGGGAGCGUGCGAUGCUUGAUCACAUCAACCUUGGAAACACUUCCAACACAUAUCGUCAGCUCACCUUUAGCUAGUCUCCAUUUAUUCCGUAGCUUUUAUUUUCGAGUUACUAACACUUAGCAACCGAACCGGUAUCUAAUACUCUGGUGCUACUAGGAGUACUAGUAAAGUACACAUUAACAUAAUGUAUAUCCAAUAUACUUCUAUCGACCUUGCCAGCCUUCUCAUCUACCAAGUAUCUAGGGUAAUGCUGCUCCAGUGGUUGUUCCCCUUAUUACAGAAGCACUUAGUCUCGGGUUUGGGUUCAACCUUGGGUUUCUUCACUAGAGCAGCAGCUGAAUUGCCGUUUCAUGAAGUAUCCCUUUGUUCCCUUGCCCUUCUUGAAACUAGUGGUUUCACCAACCAUCAAUAAUUGAUGCUCCUUCUUGAUUUCUACUUUCGCGGUGUCAAACAUCAUGAAUAUUUCAAGGAUCAUCAUAUCUAUCCCUGAUAUGUUAUAGUUAAUCACGAAGCUCUAGCAACUUGGUGGCAAUGACUUUGGAGAAACAUCACUAUCUCAUCUGGAAGAUCAACUCCCACUCGAUUCAAGUGAUUGUUGUACUCAGACAAUCUGAGCACAAGCUCAAGGAUUGAGCUUUUCUCCCUUAGUUUGCAGGCUAGAAAACUCAUCGGAGGUCUCAUACCUCUUGACGUGGGCACAAGCCUGAAAUCCCAAUUUCAGCUCUUGGAACAUCUCAUAUGUUCUGCGACAUUUCAAAAAUGUCUUCGGUGCCUUAAUUCUGAACCAUUUAACAUUACCGAUCUAUUAUGUAGUCAUCAAAACGUGUAUGUCAGAUGUUCGCAACAUCCACAGACCAUGUUCGAGGUCCAGCACACCGAGCGGUGCAUUAAGGACAUAAGCCUUCUACUGUCCGCAUAAUUGCUACUGUCAACUUUCAACUAUAUUUUCUCUAGGAACAUAUCUAAAACAGUAGAACUAAUGCGCGAGCUAUGACAUAAUUUGCAAAGGGCUUUUGACUAUGUUCAGGAUAAUUAAGUUCAUCUAAUGAACUCCCACUCAGAUAGACAUCCCUCUAGUCAUCUAAGUGAUUACAUGAUCCGAAUCAACUAGGCCGUGUCCGAUUGAGGGAGUCCUGGACUAGGGGGUGUCCGGAUGGCUGGACUAUGACCUUUGGCCGGACUCCCGGACUAUGAAGAUAUAAGAUUGAAGACUUCGUCCCGUGUCCGGAUAGGACUUUCCUUGGCGUGGAAGGCAAGCUUGGUGAUUCGAUAUGAAGAUCUCCUCCCAUUGUAACCGACUCUGUGUAACCCUAACCCUCUCCGGUGUCUAUAUAAACCGGAGGGUUUUAGUCCGUAGGACAAAGAACAAUCAUACCAUAGGCUAGCUUCUAGGGUUUAGCCUCUCUGAUCUCGUGGUAGAUCAACUCUUGUACUACCCAUAUCAUCAAUAUUAAUCAAGCAGGAGUAGGGUUUUACCUCCAUCGAGAGGGCCCGAACCUAGGUAAAAACAUCGUGUCCCUUGUCUCUUGUUACCAUCCGCCUAGAUGCACAGUUCGGGACCCCCUACCCGAGAUCCGCCGGUUUUGACACCGACAUUGGUGCUUUCAUUGAGAGUUCCUCUGUGUCAUCACCCUUAGGCCCGAUGGCUUCUUCGAUCGUCAACCACGACGCGCUCCAGGGUGAGACUUUUCUCCCCGGACAGAUCUUCGUAUUCGGCGGCUUCGCACUGUGGGCCAAUUCGCUUGGCCAUCUGGAGCAGAUCGAAGGCUACGCCCCUGGCCAUCAGGUCAGGUUUGGAAGCUUAAACUACACGACUGACAUCCACGGGGACUUGAUCUUCGAUGGAUUCGAGCCACGGCCGAGCACGCCGCACUGUCACGAUGGGCAUGAUCUAGAUCUGCCGCCGGACAGCGCCCAGAGCGCUGCUCAGGUGUCCGCUCCGACCAUUAGCUCGGAGCCGACUGCGCCAGUCGGGGACGGACGGUUGGAUGCCGCCCCAGGAGCCGCAAUCUCUACGGUGAUAGAGCCGAAUACCAGCCUAGUCCUUUGCGAGGCCUGUGACUCCAAGGUGCCGGACUCCUUUCUGGACUCUGAAUCUUCCGCACCCCUUCCGAUUGAACCCGAUUGGGCUCCGAUCAUGGAGUUCACCGCCGCAGACGUCUUUCAGCACUCGCCCUUUGGUGAUAUCCUGAAUUCACUAAAAUCUCUCUCUUUGUCAGGAGAGCCCUGGCCGGACUAUGGUCAGCAAGGUUGGGAUGCGGACGAUGAAGAAAUUCGAAACCCACCCACCACCCACUUCGUAGCCACCGUCUAUGACCUAACUGACAUGCUCGACUUUGACUCCGAAGACAUCGACGGUAUGGAUGCCGAUGAAGGAGACGACCAAGAACCAGCACCUAUAGGGCACUGGAAAGCCACCUCGUCAUAUGACAUAUACAUGGUGGACACCCCCAAAGCAGGGGAUGGCGAUGAAAAACGGAGGACGACCCCUCCAAGAAGCAACCCAAGCGCCGACGCCAGCGGCACCGCUCUAAAUCCCGCCAAAGCAAAAACGGCGAGUCCAGCACUGGAGACAACAACACCCCAGACUGUGCCGAAGACAACCCCUCCAGCAGGAUUCAGCACAGGAGGACGGAGGAGCCAGCCCUCAUGAGAGAGCGGCAGACAGGGAGGUCGAGGACGACAAUUACAUGCCUCCCUCCGAAGACGAGGCAAGCCUCGACGACGACGAAUUUGUCGUGCCAGAGGAUCCCGUCGAACAAGAGCGUUUCAAAUGCAGGCUUAUGGCCAUGACAAGCAGCUCAAGAAAAAACAACAGCAGCUUAGAGCUGACCAAGACUUGCUAGCCGACAAAUGGACUGAAGUCCUGGCGGCCGAAGAGUAUAAACUCGAACGCCCCUCCAAGAGCUACCCAAAGCGCAGGCUGCUACCCCAAUUAGAGGAGGAAGCAACUAAACCUACAUCACCAACGUACAAUGCGCCCGAUCGGCCACCCCGUGGCCGCGACAGAGAGGCCUUUCGGCCCUCAACUCAAGCCGCACCCCGACGCCGCUCCAAAAAUACCAGAGCACGGGGAAACGCAACAGACCUGCGAGACAUAUUGGAGGAUAAGGCAAGGCAAACAAGAUCGAUCUACGGAUCGCGUGGGCGCCCCAUGUCACGUGACGAUAACCGUCACGCUGGAUAUGAUAAAUACGACCAGGCCGAACACAACAGACAAAGCUCAUCCGAGCUACGUCGCGAUAUAGCCCAGUACAGGGGCGCCACACACCCACUAUGCUUCACAGACGAAGUAAUGGAUCAUCAAAUCCCCGAGGGUUUUAAACCCGUAAACAUCAAAUCAUACAAUGGCACAACAGAUCCCAUGGUAUGGAUCGAGGAUUAUCUCCUUCAUAUCCACAUGGCCCGUGGUGAUGAUCUACACGCCAUCAAAUACCUCCCGCUCAAGCUUAAAGGACCAGCUCGGCAUUGGCUUAACAGCCUGCCAGCAGAGUCAAUUAGUUGCUGGGAGGACCUGGAAUCCGCGUUCCUUGACAACUUCCAGGGCACUUAUGUGCGACCACCAGACGCCGAUGACCUAAGCCACAUAAUCCAGCAGCCAGAGGAAUCGGCCAGACAAUUAUGGACAUGGUUCCUAACCAAGAAAAAUCAAAUAGUCGACUGUCCGGACGCCGAGGCCCUUGCAGCCUUCAGGCACAACAUCCGAGACGAAUGGCUUGCCCGACACCUAGAACAGGAAAAGCUGAAAUCUAUGGCAGCCCUCACGACACUCAUGACCCGCUUUUGCGCGGGAGAAGACAGCUGGCUAGCUCAUAGUAAUAACAUAACCAAGAGCACUGGCAAUUCGGAUACCAAGGACAACAAUGGCAGGUCACGUCGCAACAAGCACAAGCACCGCAUUAACAGCGACAAUACUGAGGAUACGGCAGUUAAUGCCGGAUUCAGAGGCUCUAAACCCGGUCAGCGGAAGAAGCCAUUCAAAAGAAACCCUCCGGGCCCAUCCAGUUUAGACCGGAUACUCGAUCGCUCGUGCCAGAUACACGGCACCCCCGAACAACCAUCCAACCACACCAACAUGGAUUGUUGGGUGUUCAAGCAGGCAGGCAAGUUAAGGGGCUGCAUAGCGACGACGAGGAGGAGCCCCGGCCGCCGAACAACAGAGGACAGAAGGGCUUCCCCCCGCAAGUGCGGACGGUGAACAUGAUAUACGCAACCCAUAUCCCCAAAAGGGAGCGGAAGCGUGCUCUCAAGGACGUCUAUGCAUUGGAGCCAGUGGCCCCAAAGUUCAACCCAUGGCCCUCCUGCCCGAUCACUUUUGAUCGAAGGGACCACCCUACUAGCAUCCGUCACGGCGGAUUCGCCGCAUUGGUGCUAGACCCAAUCAUUGACGGAUUUCACCUCACUAGAGUCCUCAUGGACGGCGGCAACAACCUGAACCUGCUUUAUCAGGAUACAGUGCGAAAAAUGGGUAUAGACCCCUCAAGGAUUAAACCCACAAAGACAACCUUUAAAGGCAUCAUACCAGGUGUAGAAGCCAGCUGUACAGGCUCGGUUACACUCGAAGUGGUCUUCGGAUCCCCGGAUAAUUUCCGAAGCGAAGAGUUAAUCUUCGACAUAGUCCCAUUCUGCAGUGGCUAUCACGCCCUGCUCGGACGAGCCGCAUUCGCAAAAUUCAAUGCGGUGCCGCACUACGCAUAUCUCAAGCUCAAGAUGCCAGGCCCUCGCGGAGUCAUUACGGUAAAUGGAAACACCGAACGCUCUCUCCGAACGGAGGAGCACACGGCGGCCCUGGUGGCGGAAGUACAAAGUAGCCUCUCAAGGCAACUCUCCAAUUCGGGUGUUAAACGUCCGGACAACGUCAAGCGGGCCCGAAGUAACCUCCAACAAAACUGGCUGGCACGUUCCGAGCAAGCAUAGCAGUGCGGCCCCAACCCUAGCCCUCGCCAGAUGGCGAUAGCGGUACCAUGCGUACAUAAUUAUGCCUUGGAAAUACCAUGGGCAUAAGGGGAGGGGCACAACCACGGCACGCCCAAAAUGCGGCUGAACCGCACUAGGGGCUCCCUAUUCUGCCGUUUCCUUUUUUUAUAUACUUUCAGGACCCAACUAUCCGGAAGGCCUGUCCGGCAAUACACUCGCCGAACGCACGAUGCAACAGCCAGGGAGAGAACAAGCCACGUCAAAUGUCCAGGUGGUCUCUAUAACGAGCUAAAUACCUGUUUUACUUAAAGUCUCGCAGCUUGCCCCUGGAGGGGGACAUGUCAAAUAAUCCCAUCUCUUGCUUAUCGCACUAUUUGUAUCGUUCUGCUUUCAUAGCAGCCCUUUUUAAUAAACAAUACAUAGCUCUUAUCUAUUAUUGUAUUCAUCUAUUUUUAUACAAAUAUGUUUAGUCAUGACAUUAUGCAACCAUACACUUUGGUAAGGCCAAUACACCAGGGGCUUAAGCACCCCAUAACACGGUGUGAGAAGACCGAACACUCUCAUGAGUGCAGCACCCCGAACUUAUAGCACUAUAUGCAUCAGCUCCGAAUCAUGUCUUGGGUCAAUAGUUGGGUUUGCCCGGCUCCCAUGUUUUGGUACCUUACGUUCCGCAAUGUUGGCUAAGGUAGCGCUGGGAGAACUACUACAAUUGUGCCCCAGUUGAGCUGGGUUAACACCUCAGUAGAGAAAGCUAAAACUGACCGUCAUGAUAGUGUGAGAGACCGGUUGUUGUUCGCGAGGUUUUUCGAGUCCCUAAAGACUUACGCCGCUUAGAGCGAGGAGCCGGAUUUAUCUGGCCUAGGCGUGGAUAGCGCCCGGGCUUCGCCGAAAUUUAAAAUUAUAGAAUUCUAUGGCUAAGUGAGAGUGAUAAAGCAUUAUAAGUCCGAUGGCCUUGUUCGUUGUGCUGAGCGCCUCCCUAGAUGGACCCAAGAAUGGGAACAAGAGCGCCCAGGUUUAUCUCGAACACCCCAGCACUCAUGGCAUGGGGGUAGAAGCCGACGACUUGCAUCUCUCAGAUUUCAUAAACGGCCGCACAGAAGGUAAUAUUUUAAAUUCAAAAAGCGUUGCUUAGCGCAUAUGAACAAGUUUUCAGCGCACAUGAUAAACACGAGCGAGUUUACUCAAAAAUUACAUCCAUGGUACAUUCCUCCGCCACAAGACGGGCACCCUUCAGGACGCCCUCAUAAUACAUCUCGGGCCUGCGAUGCUUCUUCCCCUCCGGUGGCCCAUCCUUCACCAGCUUCUUAGCAUCUAGCUUGCCCCAGUGCACUUUAGCACGGGCAAAAGCCCUACAGGCGCCCUCGAUACACAUGGAACGCUUGAUGACUUCAAGUCGUGGACAGGCAUCCACCAGCCGCCGCACCAGCCCAACGUAGCUCAAAGGCAAGACCUCACCAGGCCACAGCCGGCCUAUCAGGCCCUUCAUGGCCUGGUCGGCUGCCUUAUGAAGCUCGACCAGCUGCUUCAGCUGGUCGCUCAAGGGCACCGGGUGUCCGACCUCAGCAUACUGGGACCAGAACACUUUCUCUGUCGAGCUCCCUUCCUCGGCCCGGUAGAAUGCGGCAGCAUCGGAUACACUGCGGGGCAGAUCUGCGAAUGCUCCUGGAGAGCUCCGGACGUGGGUAAGUAACAGGUAAUUUACUUUCACAUGCUUGCUUUGCAUAAAGAAUUCCUUACCCGCCGCAAUCCUUUUCAUCGCCUCAAUCUCCUGGAGGGCUCUUUGGGCAUCGGCCUUGGCAGACUUGGCACUUUCAAGUGCCGAGGCAAGCUCGGACUCUCGAGUCCUUGAGUCACGCUCUAAACUCUCAUGUUUCUUCACGAGAGCAUCGAGCUCUUGCCGCACCUCCGCAUCUUGCACCUCUUGCCUCUCUCGCUUCGAGCGCUCCAUGGCCGCAUUAUCUUCGGCCUUGGAAAGCGAUUCCUUCAGGGUUGCCACCUGAGUUGUGGCCCCUGCAACAUUCACGUUGGUCCUGUCAUUAUUUGCAACCAGGUAUUUCUAUAUACAUUUACAUACGGUAUUACAUACCCUCCUUGUCCUCGAGCUGCUUCUUGGCACGGCCGAACUCAUUCUCGGACCGCUCGAGGUUCUGCUUCAAUGUGUCGACCUCCGCAGUCAGUGCGGCAGAGGUCAGCAGCGCAGCCUGCAUUCCCAUAUUGACAUAUUUAUGUUAGACUCCUGCGUAUUUUUUUUAGAUCCUCAGUCCGGCUUUUCUUUCCGAACACCACACUGAGCAUCAGGGGCUACUGUCUAUGCGGUAACAUUUUUAUAUGUUUUGAAUACAUACCUCAAAGCCUGUUAACAUGCUCGUACAGGCUUCUGUCAGCCCGCUCUUGGCGGACUGAACCUUCUGAAUCACCGCACUCAUCACAGUGCGGUGUUCCUCGUCGAUGGAGGUGCCGUUAAGCACCUCCAGCAAAUUGUCCGGCGCCUCUGGUUGGACGGAGGUCGCCGGCGUCGUAGGCUUGCCCUUCUUGCGAAGGCGCCGCCUGCCGGACCCCGGAACCACUAAAGGUUCCGAAGCAGUGUCCGGCCCAGGGCCGGACUUAGACACCUGUGGGGCUUUACCCCCUUUGGGCCUGGAAUCCGGGAGGUUGCCUUGCGGCGCCUCCUGGACCACCUCCUCCUGGUUUAGUCCCUUUUGAGACUCCACCUCGGCGUCGUCCAUAGGGAGAGGGGAGGAGGCCGUCGGAAGUGAAGCGCUAUUCACGUCCGACGAAUCCAGGGAGCCGCUCGACGAAUCGCCAAGAUGAGCCUUGGGCGGACUGUAUGAUUGAAUUCGGCGUCAGAAGGUACCAUACAUUAGAGGAGCGCCAUGAGUUAUUCUGGUAUCCGGAUACUUAUGAUUUUGCCAGGGGCUUGACCCUGGAUGGCCAUUCCUCCCCGCUGUCUUCGGCAUCGGAGGCCUAGUCCGGCAGAAGGGUCCUCCCCUUCUUGGACCCUCCGGCCUCCCUAGUUGGGGCGGCCUUCCUUUUCUUUCCUCCCCCCGCUGGAGGGGGAGAGGCUUCUUGUUCUUCCUCCUCCUCGUCCUCAGAGGCGGAGGGUGCUCCGGGGUUGUCAGGCGAUGAAUCCGACACCACCAGGCGCCGGGAAGUCUUUCGAGUCCCCGUGGCCUUCUUCUUGGCCUUCUUCUCCGGCACCACGUGAGGUGCCGGAACCAGCAGCCCCGUCAAUCGGGCAUCCGCUGGGUCAUCUAGUAAGAGAGCCGGACAGUUAACCUGCCCGGACUUCCUCAGCCAGUCCUGUCAAAGGUAAGGGAGUUUAGAUCCCACAUAGAGUCAGACUAUGAAAAACAAGAGUCCUGUAAAGGGUAGAAUAGCUUACCUCGCUGGCCUGACGCCGCGAGUUGAAUCCGCGAUCUUCGGUAGCGGAUGCGGGGGCCUCAGCGCCCUUAAACAGCACCUUCUAGGCAUCUUCGUACAUAGCAUCGAAGAGCUUGCUCAAGGUUUGGUGCUGUGCCGGAUCAAACUCUCACAAUUCGAAGGCCCGUUGUUGGCAUGGGAGGAUCCGGCGGAUGAGCAUGACCUGGACUACGUUGACAAGCUUGAGAUUCUUGUUCACCAGCUGUUGGACGCAGGCUUGAAGUCCGGUCAGCUCUUCCGAAUCUCCCCACGUUAGGCCCGUCUCUUUCCAGGAGGUGAGCCGUGUGGGGAAACCAGAUCGGAAUUCGGGGGCCGCCGCCCAUUUGGGGUCGCGCGGCUCAGUGAUGUAGAACCACCCCGAUUGCCACCCCUUUAUUGUCUCCACAAAGGAGCCCUCGAGCCAUAGGACGUUGGCCAUCCGGCCCGCCAUGGCACCUCCGCACUCCGCUUGGCGGCCGCCCACUACCUUCGGCUUGACAUUAAAAGUCUUUAGCCAUAAGCCGAAGUGGGGCUGGAUGCAGAGGAAGGCCUCGCACACGACGAUGAACGCCGAGAUGUUGAGGAUGAAGUUCGGGGCCAGAUCGUGGAAAUCUAGGCCAUAGUAGAACAUGAUCCCCCGAACAAAUGGGUGAAGUGGGAAACCUAGUCCGCGGAGGAAGUGGGUGAGGAACACCACCCUCUCAUGGGGCCUGGGGGUGGGGAGAAGUUGCCCCUUGUCGGGGAACCAAUGCGCAAUGUCGCUGGACAAGUAUCCGGCCUUUCGCAGCUUUUUGACUUGUUCCUCCGUUACGGAGGAGACCAUCCACUUGCCUCCCGCUCCGGACAUGGCUGGAGAAGGUUGAGAAGGGAUGUGCGGACUUGGGCGCUGGAGUUCGAGUACGCGGAAAUGGAUAAGCAAAGGAGGGAGGAAGAAGGCGUCGGUAAAAAGGCGGAUCCUUAUCCCCUUAUAGGGACGGACGAAACUAUGAGCCCCCACCAGCCUAGUAAAACUCGCUUAUCUCCCAAGCGCCGCGAUUAAUGGCGCGGUUGGGUUACCCACGCUCGUAUUGAUGAGAACCCCGGAAUAAGGGGACACAAUCUCUGCUUUGACAAGACGUGCCAAGGAAACUGCCUUGCUAAACACGCUGAGGUGGAACAGUAAAACGAUUCGAAUAAAGGCUUGGCCGUGGCAUGAUGUCACACUGCGGAAUGUGUCAGUAGAUUAGAUUUGUGCAUAUAUUGAUCUCUCUACGGUGGUAUGUAGAACUUAUUUUGCAGAGCCGGACACUAUCUGUUGGAAAUAUGCCCUAGAGGCAAUAAUAAAAGUAUUAUUAUUAUAUUUCCUUGUUCAUGAUAAUUGUCUUUUAUUCAUGCUAUAACUGUAUUAUCUGGAAAUCGUAUACACGUGUGAAUACAUAGACCACAAUAUGUCCCUAGUGAGCCUCUAGUUGACUAGCUCGCUGUGAUCAACAGAUAGUCAUGGUUUCCUGGCUAUGGACAUUGGAUGUCGUUGAUAACGGGAUCACAUCAUUAGGAGAAUGAUGUGAUGGACAAGACCCAAUCCUAAGACUAGCACAAAAGAUCGUGUAGUUCAUUUGCUAGAGCUUUGCCAAUGUCAAGUAUCUCUUCCUUCGACCAUGAGAGCGUGUAACUCCUGGAUACCGUAGGAGUGCUUUGGGUGUAUCAAACGUCACAACGUAACUGGGUGACUAUAAAGGUGCACUACAUGUAUCUCCGAAAGUAUCUAUUGUUUUAUGCGGAUCGAGACUGGGAUUUGUCACUCUGUGUAAACGGAGAGGUAUCUCUGGGCCCACUCGGUAGGACAUCAUCAUAUGUGCAAUGUGACCAAGGAGUUGAUCACGGGAUGAUGUGUUACGGAACGAGUAAAGUGACUUGCCGGUAACGAGAUUGAACAAGGUAUUGGAUACCGACGAUCGAAUCUCGGGCAAGUAACAUACCGAUAGACAAAGGGAAUUGAAUACGGGAUUGAUUAAGUCCUUGACAUCGUGGUUCAUCCGAUGAGAUCAUCGUGGAACAUGUGGGAGCCAUCAUGAAUAUCCAGAUCCCGCUGUUGGUUAUUGACCGGAGAACGUCUCGGUCAUGUCUGCAUGUCUCCCGAACCCGUAGGGUCUACACACUUAAGGUUCGAUGACGCUAGGGUUAUAAAGGAAGUUUGUAUGUGGUUACCGAAUGUUGUUCGGAGUCCCGGAUGAGAUCCCGGACAUCACGAGGAGUUCCGAAAUGGUCCGGAGGUAAAGAUUUAUAUAUGGGAAGUCCUAUUUUGGCCACCGGAAAAUGUACGGGAUUUUUCGGUAUUGUACCGGGAAGGUUCUAGAAGGUUCCGGAGUGGGGCCCACCUGCAUGGGGGGACCCACAUGAACGUGGGUAGUGGGGGCAAGGCCCCAUACCCCUGGUCAAGGCGCACCAAGAUCCCCCCUUAGAAGGAAUAAGAUCAUAUCCCUUCGGGAUAAGAUCAAGAUCCCUAAAAAGGGGGGAUAACAAUCGGUGGGGAAGGAAAUAAUGAGAUUUCUUUCCUCCCACCUUGGCCAACGCCCCAAUGGACUUGGAGGGCAAGAAACCAGCCCCUCCACCCCUAUAUAUAGUGGGGAGGCGCAUGGGAGCUAUACACGAAGUUCUGGCGCAGCCCUCCCCCUCUCACAAGUACUCCUCCUCUCCCGUGGUGCUUGGCGAAGCCCUGCAGGAUUGCCACGCUCCUCCACCACCACCACGCCGUUGUGCUGCUGCUGGAUGGAGUCUUCCUCAACCUCUCCCUCUCUCCUUGCUGGAUCAAGGCUUGGGAGACGUCACCGGGCUGUAUGUGUGUUGAACGCGGAGGUGCCGUGCGUUCGACACUUGAUCAUCGGUGAUUUGAAUCACGACGAGUACGACUCCAUCAACCCCGUUCACUUGAACGCUUCCGCUUAGCAAUCUACAAGGGUAUGUAGAUGCACUCUCUUUCUACUCGUUGCUGGUCUCUCCAUAGAUAGAUCUUGGUGACACGUAGGAAAAUUUUGAAUUUCUGCUACGUUCCCCAACAGUGGCAUCAUGAGCUAGGUCUAUUGCGUAGAUUCUUUGCACGAGUAGAACACAAAGUAGUUGUGGGCGUUGAUGUUGUUCAAUAUGCUUACCGUUACUAGUCCAAUCUUGUUUCGACGGUAUUGUGGGAUGAAGCGGCCCGGACCGACCUUACACGUACUCUUACGUGAGACAGGUUCCACCGAUUGACAUGCACUUGGUGCAUAAGGUGGCUAGCGGGUGCCAGUCUCUCCCACUUUAGUCGGAACGGAUUCGAUGAAAAGGGUCCUUAUGAAGGGUAAAUAGCAAUUGGCAUAUCACGUUGUGGUCUUGCGUAGGUAAGAAACGUUCUUGCUAGAAACCCAUAGCAGCACGUAAAACAUGCAACAACAAUUAGAGGACGUCUAACUUGUUUUUGAAGGGUAUGCUAUGUGAUGUGAUAUGGCCAAGAAGAAUGUGAUGAAUGAUAUGUGAUGUAUGAGAUUGAUCAUGUUCUUGUAAUAGGAUUCACGACUUGCAUGUCGAUGAGUAUGACAACCGGCAGGAGCCAUAGGAGUUGUCUUUAUUUAUUGUAUGACCUGCGUGUCAUUGAAGAACGCCAUGUAAACUACUUUACUUUAUUGCUAAACGCGUUAGUCAUAGAAGUAGAAGUAGUCGUUGGCGUGACAACUUCAUGAAGACACGAUGAUGGAGAUCAUGAUGAUGGAGAUCAUGGUGUCGUGCCGGUGACGAUGAUGAUCAUGGAGCCCCGAAGAUGAAGAUCAAAAGGAGCAAAAUGAUAUUGGCCAUAUCAUGUCACUAUUUGAUUGCAUGUGAUGUUUAUCAUGUUUAUGCAUCUUGUUUGCUUAGGACGACGGUAGUAAAUAAGAUGAUCCCUUACAAAAUUUCAAGAAGUGUUCUCCCCUAACUGUGCACCGUUGCUACAGUUCGUCGCUUCUAAGCACCACGUGAUGAUCGGGUGUGAUGUAUUCUUACGUUCACAUACAAUGGGUGUAAGACAGUUUUACACAGCGAAAACACUUAGGGUUAACUUGACGAGCCUAGCAUGUGCAGACAUGGCCUCGGAACACGGAGACCGAAAGGUCGAGCAUGAGUCGUAUGGUAGAUACGAUCAACAUGAAGAUGUUCACCGAUGAUGACUAGUCCGUCUCAUGUGAUGAUCGGACACGGCCUAGUUGACUCGGAUCAUGUGAUCACUUAGAUGACCAGAGGGAUGUCUAUCUAAGUGGGAGUUCAUAAGAUGAACUUAAUUAUCCUGAACAUAGUCAAAAGACCUUUUGCAAAUUAUGUCGUAAGCUCGCGCUUUAGUUCCACUGUUUAGAUAUGUUCCUAGAGAAAAUAUAGUUGAAAGUUGAUAGUAGCGAUUAUGCGAUCAGUAGAAAGCUUAUGUCCUUAAUGCACCGCUCAGUGUGCUGAACCCCAACGUUGUUUGUCGAUGUUGCGAACAUCGGACAUACACGUUUUGAUAACUACGUGAUAGUUCAAUUAAAUGGUUUAAGUAGAGGCACCAAAGACGUUUUCGAAACGUCGCGGAACAUAUGAGAUGUUUCGAGGGCUGAAAUUGGGAUUUCAGGCUCGUGCCCACGUCAAGAGGUAUAAGACCUCCGACGAUUUUCUUAGCCUGCAAACUAAGGGAGAAAAGCUCAAUCGUUGAUCUUGUGCUCAGAUUGUCUGAGCACAACAAUCACUUGAAUCGAGUGGGAGUAGAUCCUCCAGAUGAGAUAGUGAUGUUUCCCCAAAGUCAUUGCCACCAAGCUGCUAGAGCUUCGUGAUUAACUAUAACAUAUCAGGGAUAGAUAUGAUGAUCCUUGAAAUAUUCAUGAUGUUUGACACCGCGAAAGUAGAAAUCAAGAAGGAGCAUCAAUUGUUGAUGGUUGGUGAAACCACUAGUUUCAAGAAGGGCAAGGGAACAAAGGGAUACUUCAUGAAACGGCAAUUCAGCUGCUGCUCUAGUGAAGAAACCCAAGGUUGAACCCAAACCCGAGACUAAGUGCUUCUGUAAUAAGGGGAACAACCACUGGAGCAGCAUUACCCUAGAUACUUGGUAGAUGAGAAGGCUGGCAAGGUCGAUAGAAGUAUAUUGGAUAUACAUUAUGUUAAUGUGUACUUUACUAGUACUCCUAGUAGCACCAGGGUAUUGGAUACCGGUUCGGUUGCUAAGUGUUAGUAACUCAAAAUAAAAGCUACGGAAUAAACGGAGACUAGCUAAAGGUGAGAUGACGAUAUAUGUUGGAAGUGUUUCCAAGGUUGAUAUGAUCAAGCAUCGCACGCUCCCUCUACCACCGAGAUUGGUGUUUGCGUUGAGCAUAGACAUGAUUGGAUUAUGUCUAUCGCAAUACGGUUAUUCAUUUAAGGAGAAUAAUGGUUACUCUAUUUUUGAAUAAUACCUUCAAUGCUCUUGCACCUAAAGGAAUGGUUUAUUGAAUCUCGGUCGUAGUGAUACACAUUUUCAUGCCAAAAGAUAUAAGAUAGUAAUGAUAGUACCACUUACUUGUGGCACUGCCAUGUAAGUCAUAAUGGUAUAAAACGCAUGAAGAAGCUCCAUGUUGAUGGAUCUUUGGACUCACUCAUUUUUGAAAAGUUUGAGACAUGUGAACCAUGUCUAUUGGUGUAUAUGCAUGAAGAAACUCCAUGCAAAUGGACCGUUUGGACUCACUUGAUUUUGAAUCACUUGAGAUAUGCAAAUCAUACCACAUGGGCAAGAUGACUGAAAAGCCUCGUUUUCAGUAAGAUGGAACAAGAUAGCAACUUGUUGGAAGUAACACAUUUUGAUGUGUCCAAUCCAAUGAGUGCUGAGGCAUGCAGUGAAUAUCGUUAUGAUCUUACUUCACAGAUGAUUCGAGUAGAUGUUGAGAAUAUUUACUUGAUGAAACACAAGUCUGAAUUAUUGAAUGGUUCAAGUAAUUUCAGAGUGAAGUAGAAGAUCAUUGUGACAAGAGGAUAAAAUGUCUAUGAUAUGAUCAUAGAGAUGAAUAUCUGAGUUACGAGUUUUGGCACACAAUUAAGACAUUGUGGAAAUUGUUUUGCAAUUAAUACCGCCUGGAACACCAUAGUGUGAUGGUGUGUCCGAACAUCAUAGUUGCACCCUAUUGGAUAUGGUGCGUACCAUGAUGUCUCUUAUCGAAUUACCACUAUUGUCCAUGGGUUAGGCAUUAGAGACAACCACAUUCACUUUAAAUAGGGCACCACGUAAUUCCGUUGAGAUGACACCGUAUGAAUUAUGGUUUAGAGAAACCUAAGUUGUCGUUUCUUAAAAGUUUGGGGCUGCGACGCUUAGAUGAAAAAGUUUUAGGUUGAUAAGCUCGAACCCAAAGCGGAUAAAAUGCAUCUUCAUAGGAAACCCAAAACAGUUGGGUAUACCUCCUAAUUCAGAUCCGAAAGCAAUAUGGAUUGUUUCUUGAAUCGGGUCCUUUCUCGAGGAAAAGUUUCUCUCGAAAGAAUUGAGUGGGAGGAUGGUGGAAACUUGAUGAGGUUAUUGAACCGUCUCUUCAACUAGUGUGUGGCAGGGCACAGGAAGUUGUUCCUGUGGCACCUACACCAAUUGAAGUGGAAGCUUGUGAUGUUGAUCAUGAAACUUCGGAUCAAGUCACUACCAAACCUCGUGGGAUGACAAGGAUACGUACUACAUCAGAGUGGUACGUAAUCCUAUCUUGGAAGUCAUGUUGCUGGACAACAAUGAACCUACGAGCUAUGGAGAAGCAAUGGUGGGCCCGGAUUCCGAUAAAUGGCUCGAGGCCAUAAAAUCCGAGAACGGAUCCAUGCCUUUGGAAGAAAUACUUGAUGGUCGUAAGGCCAUUGGGUACGGAUGGAUUUUAAAAGGAAGACAGACAAUGAUGGUAAGAAUUACCAUUAAGAAAGCUCGACUUGUCGUUAAGAUAUUUUCCGACAAGUUCAAGGAGUUGAUUACGGUGAGGUUUUCUCACUCGUAGCGAUCCUAAGAGUCUGUUGGAAUUGGAUUAGCAGUUACUGCAUGAUUGAUGAAAUCUUGCAGAUAGGAUGUCAAAACAUUGUUUCCUCGAUGUUAUACUUGAGGAAAGGUUGUAUGUGAUACAACCGGAAGGUUUUGUCAAUCCCAAAAGAUGCUAAUAAGUAUGCAAAGCUCCAGCAAUCCUUCUAAGGACUGGAGUGAGCAUCUCGGAGUUGGAAUGUGUGCUUUGAUGAUGAUCAAAGAUUUUGGGUUUGUACAAAGUUUACGAGAAACUUGUAUUUCCAAAGAAGUGAGUGGGAGCACUAUAGAAUUUCUGAUGAGUAUAUGUUGUUGACAUAUUGUUGAUCAGAAAUGACGUAGAAUUUCUGGAAAGCAUAUAGGGUUAUUUUGAAAGUGUUUUUCAAUGGAAAACCUGGAUUAAGCUACUUGAACAUUGAGCAUCAAGAUCUAUAAGGAUAGAUCAAAAUGCUUAAUAAUACUUUCAAAUGAGCACAUACCUUGACAUGAUCUUGAAGGUGUUCAAGAUGGACCAGUCAAAGAAGGAGUUCUUGCCUGAGUUGUAAGGUACGAAGUUAGGACUUAAAGCUCGACCACGGCAGAAAAGAGAGAAAGGACGAAGGUCGUCCCCUAUACUUUAGACGUAGGCUCUACAGUAUGCCAUGCUGAGUACCGCACCUGAAGUGUGCCUUGCCAUGAGUCAGUCAAGGGGUACAAGAGUGAUCCAAGAAUGGAUCACAGGACAGCGGUCAAAGUUAUCCUUAGAAAUUAGUGGACUAAGGAAUUUUUCUCGAUUAUGGAGGUGGUAAAAGAGUUCGUCGUAAAGGGUUACGUCGAUGCAAGCUUGACACCUAUCCGGAUAGCUCUGAGUAGAGAUACCGGAUACAUAUAAUGGAGCAACAAUAUAGAAUAGCUCCAAGUAGAACAAUUAUUUGGAUUAGCUCCAAAUAGAGCGUGGUAGCUACAUCUAGGAGAUGACAUAGAGAUUUGUAAAACACACACGGAUCUGAAAGGUUCGGACCCGUUGACUAAAACCUCUCUCACAAGCAACAUGAUCAAACCUAAAACUCAUUGAGUAUUAAUCACAUAGUGAUGUGAACUAGACUACUGAUUCUAGUAAACUCUUGGGUGUUAGUCACAUGGCGAUGUGACCUGUGAGUGUUAAUCACAUGGCGAUGUGAACUAGAUUAUUGACUCUAGUGCAAGUGGGAGACUGUUGGAAAUAUGCCCUAGAGGCAAUAAUAAAAGUAUUAUUAUUAUAUUUCCUUGUUCAUGAUAAUUGUCUUUUAUUCAUGCUAUAACUGUAUUAUCCGAAAAUCGUAAUACACGUGUGAAUACAUAGACCACAAUAUGUCCCUAGUGAGCCUCUAGUUGACUAGCUCGUUGUGAUCAACAGAUAGUCAUGGUUUCCUGGCUAUGGACAUUGGAUGUCGUUGAUAACGGGAUCACAUCAUUAGGAGAAUGAUGUGAUGGACAAGACCCAAUCCUAAGACUAGCACAAAAGAUCGUGUAGUUCAUUUGCUAGAGCUUUGCCAAUGUCAAGUAUCUCUUCCUUCGACCAUGAGAGCGUAUAACUCCUGGAUACCGUAGGAGUGCUUUGGGUGUAUCAAACGUCACAACGUAACUGGGUGACUAUAAAGGUGCACUACAGGUAUCUCCGAAAGUAUCUAUUGUUUUAUGCGGAUCGAGACUGGGAUUUGUCACUCCGUGUAAACGGAGAGGUAUCUCUGGGCCCACUCGGUAGGACAUCAUCAUAUGUGCAAUGUGACCAAGGAGUUGAUCACGGGAUGAUGUGUUACGGAACAAGUAAAGUGACUUGCCAGUAACGAGAUUGAACAAGGUAUUGGAUACCGACGAUCGAAUCUCGGGCAAGUAACAUACCGAUAGACAAAGGGAAUUGAAUACGGGAUUGAUUAAGUCCUUGACAUCGUGGUUCAUCCGAUGAGAUCAUCGUGGAACAUGUGGGAGCCAUCAUGGGUAUCCAGAUCCCGCUGUUGGUUAUUGACCGGAGAACGUCUCGGUCAUGUCUGCAUGUCUCCCGAACCCAUAGGGUCUACACACUUAAGGUUCGAUGACGCUAGGGUUAUAAAGGAAGUUUGUAUGUGGUUACCGAAUGUUGUUCGGAGUCCCGGAUGAGAUCCCGGACGUCACGAGGAGUUCCGAAAUGGUCCGGAGGUAAAGAUUUAUAUAUGGGAAGUCCUAUUUUGGCCACCGGAAAAUGUUCGGGAUUUUUCGGUAUUGUACCGGGAAGGUUCUAGAAGGUUCCGGAGUGGGGCCCACCUGCAUGGGGGGACCCACAGGAACGUGGGUAGUGGGGGCAAGGCCCCACACCCCUGGUCAAGGCGCACCAAGAUCCCCCCUUAGAAGGAAUAAGAUCAUAUCCCGAAGGGAUAAGAUCAAGAUCCCUAAAAAGGGGGGAUAACAAUCGGUGGGGAAGGAAAUAAUGAGAUUUCUUUCCUCCCACCUUGGCCAACGCCCCAAUGGACUUGGAGGGCAAGAAACCAGCCCCUCCACCCCUAUAUAUAGUGGGGAGGCGCAUGGGAGCUAUACACGAAGUUCUGGCGCAGCCCUCCCCCUCUCACAAGUACUCCUCCUCUCCCGCGGUGCUUGGCGAAGCCCUGCAGGAUUGCCACGCUCCUCCACCACCACCACACCGUUGUGCUGCUGCUGGAUGGAGUCUUCCUCAACCUCUCCCUCUCUCCUUGCUGGAUCAAGGCUUGGGAGACGUCACCGGGCUCUAUGUGUGUUGAACGCGGAGGUGCCGUGCGUUCGGCACUUGAUCAUCGGUGAUUUGAAUCACGACGAGUACGACUCCAUCAACCCCGUUCACUUGAACGCUUCCGCUUAGCAAUCUACAAGGGUAUGUAGAUGCACUCUCUUUCUACUCGUUGCUGGUCUCUCCAUAGAUAGAUCUUGGUGACACGUAGGAAAAUUUUGAAUUUCUGCUACGUUCCCCAACACUAUCCUUGGGUUCAACAUCUUCUAUGAAGUAUUCGGAGGAGGAACCCGCCUUGCAAUGCCGAAGACAAUUUGCGCGCCGGACUCGUCGUCAUUGAAGCCUGGUUCAGGGGCUACUGAGGGAGUCCUGGAUUAGGGGGUGUCCGGAUGGCCGGACUAUGACCUUUGGCCGGACUCUCGGACUAUGAAGGUACAAGAUUGAAGACUUCAUCCCGUGUCCGGAUAGGACUUUCCUUGGCGAUUCGAUAUGAAGAUCUCCUCCCGUUGUAACCGACUCUGUGUAACCCUAACCCUCUCUGGUGUCUAUAUAAACCGGAGGGUUUUAGUCUGUAGGACAAAGAACAAUCAUACCAUAGGCUAGCUUCUAGGGUUUAGCCUCUCUGAUCUCGUGGUAGAUCAAUUCUUGUACUACCCAUAUCAUCAAUAUUAAUCAAGCAGGAGUAGGGUUUUACCUCCAUCGAGAGGGCCCGAACCUGGGUAAAAACAUCGUGUCCCUUGUCUCCUGUUACCAUCCGCCUAGACGCACAGUUCGAGACCCCCUACCCGAGAUCCGCCGGUUUUGACACCGACACGGAUCAUCACGUGAGACGGACUAGUCAUCAUCGGUGAACAUCUUCAUGUUGAUCGUAUCUACUAUACAACUCAUGCUCGACCUUUCGGUCUCUUGUGUUCCGAGGCCAUGUCUGUACAUGCUAGGCUCGUCAAGUUAACCUAAGUGUUUCACGUGUGUAAAUCUGUCUUACACCCAUUGUAUGUGAACGUUAGAAUCUAUCACACCCGAUCAUCACGUGGUGCUUCGAAACGACGAACUUUCGCAACGGUGCACAGUUAGGGGGAACACUUUCUUGAAAUUUUAGUGAGGGAUCAUCUUAUUUACUGCCGUCGUUCUGAGCAAAUAAGAUGCAUAAACAUGAUAAACAUCACAUGCAAUCAAAUAGUGACAUGAUAUGGCCAAUAUCAUUUUGCUCCUUUUGAUCUCCAUCUUCGGGGCUCCAUGAUCAUCAUCGUCACCGGCAUGACACCAUGAUCUCCAUCAUCAUGUUCUCCAUCAUCGUGUCUCCAUGAAGUUGUCUCGCCAACUAUUACUUCUACUACUAUGGCUACCGGUUAGCAAUAAAGUAAAGUAAUUACAUGGCGUUGUUCAAUGACACACAGGUCAUCCAAUAAAUUAAAGACAACUCCUAUGGCUCCUGCCGGUUGUCAUACUCAUCGACAUGCAAGUCGUGAUUCCUAUUACAAGAACAUGAUCAAUCUCAUACAUCACAUAUCAUUCAUCACAUUCCUUUUUGGCCAUAUCACAUCACAUAGCAUACCCUGCAAAAACAAGUUAGACGUCCUCUAAUUAUUGUUUGCAUGUUUUACGUGGCUGCUAUGGGUUUCUAGCAAAAACCUUUCUUACCUAUGCAAAAGCCACAACGUGAUAUGCCAAUUGCUAUUUACCCUUCAUAAGGACCCUUUUCAUCGAAUCCGAUCCGACUAAAGUGGGAGAGACUGGCACCCGCUAGCCACCUUAUGCAACAAGUGCAUGUCAAUCGGUGGAACCUGUCUCACGUAAGUGUACGUAUAAGGUCGGUCCGGGCCGCUUCAUCCCACAAUACCGUCGAAACAAGAUUGGACUAGUAACGGAUUGAACAAAAUCAACGCCCACAACUACUUUGUGUUCUACUCGUGCAUAGAAUCUACGCAAUAGACCUAGCUCAUGAUGCCACUGUUGGGGAACGUAGCAGAAAUUCAAAAUUUUCCUACGAAUCACCAAGAUCUAUCUAUGGAGAGACUAGCAACGAGAGAGAAGGGAGUGCAUCUACAUACCCUUGUAGAUCACUAAGCAGAAGCGUUCAAGGGAACAGGGUUGAAGGAGUCAUACUCGUCGUGAUCCAAAUCACCGGAGAUCCUAGUGCUGAAUGGACGGCACCUCCGCGUUCAACACACGUGCAGCCCGGUGAUGUCUCCCAUGCCUUGAUCCAGCAAGGAGAGAGGGAGAGGUUGGGGAAGACUCCAUCCAGCAGUAGCACAACAGCGUGGUGGUGAUGGAGGAGCGUGGUAUUCCAGCAGGGCUUCGCCAAGCACCGCGAGAGAUGAGGAGAAAGAGAGGUAGGGUUGCACCAGGGAGAGGUGGAAACUCUUGUGUAUGGCAGCCCCAAAACCUCAAGUAUAUAUAGGGGAGAGGGAGGGGGCUGCGCCCCCUUAUGGUUCCCACCCCAAGGGGUGCGGCUGCCCCAAAAACCCAUCUAGGGUGGCGGCCAAGGGGGGGAGAGGGGAAACUUGCCCCCCAAGUAAGGUGGGUGCGCCCCCUCCCCAAACCCUAGGCGCCUUGGGCCCUUGUGGGGGGCACACCAGCCCACCUGGGGCUGGUCCCCUCGCACACUUGGCCCAUGCAGCCCUCUGGGGCCGAUGGCUCCACUUGGUGGACCCCCGGAACCCUCCCGGUGGUCCCGGUACGUUACCGAUAACACCCGAAACCUUUCUGGUGACCAAAACAGGACUUCCCAUAUAUAAAUCUUUACCUCCGGACCAUUUCGGAACUCCUCGUGACGUCCUGGAUCUCAUCCGGGACUCCGAACAACAUUUGGUAACCAUGUAUAUCUAUUCCCUAUAAACCUAGCGUCAUCGAACCUUAAGUGUGUAGACCCUACGGGUUCGGGAACCAUGCAGACAUGACCGAGACGUUCUCCGGUCAAUAACCAACAGCGGGAUCUGGAUACCCAUGUUGGCUCCCACAUGUUCCACGAUGAUCUCAUCGGAUGAACCACGAUGUCAAGGACUCUAUCAAUCCCGUAUUCAAUUCCCUUUGUCUAGCUUUAUUGUACUUGCUCGAGAUUCGAUCGUCGGUAUGCCGAUACCUUGUUCAAUCUCGUUACCGGCAAGUCUCUUUACUUGUUCCGUAACACAUCAUCCCGUGAUCAAGCCCUUGGUCACAUUGUGCACAUUAUGAUGAUGUCCUACCGAGUGGGCCCAGAGAUACCUCUCCGUUACACGGAGUGACAAAUCCCAGUCUCGAUUCGUGUCAACCCAACAGACACUUUCAGAGAUACCCGUAGUGCACCUUUAUAGCCACCCAGUUACGUUGUGACGUUUGGUACACCCAAAGCAUUCCUAGGGUAUCCGGGAGUUGCACAAUCUCAUGGUCUAAGGAAAUGAUACUUGACAUUAGAAAAGCUUUAGCAUACGAACUACACGAUCUUUGUGCUAGGCUUAGGAUUGGGUCUUGUCCAUCACAUCAUUCUCCUAAUGAUGUGAUCCCGUUAUCAACGACAUCCAAUAUCCAUGGUCAGGAAAGCAUAACCAUCUAUUGAUCAACGAGCUAGCCAAUUAGAGGCUUACUAGGGACAUGGUGUUGUCUAUGUACCCACACAUGUAUCUGAGUUUCCUAUCAAUACAAUUAUAGCAUGGAUAAUAAACGAUUAUCAUGGACAAGGAAAUAUAAUAAUAAUAACCAAUUUAUUAUUGCCUCUAGGGCAUAUUUCCAACACUACCGUGAAGGGUGCGGAUGUAAAAAAUUACAUCCGCCCCUACCUCCGCUCCUGCUCCGGAACCUGGCCUGGUGCCACGGUACUACCGCGCCUCUGCACGGUACUACCGCGGGGAGCGCGGAUGUAAAAAAUUAUAUCCGCGCCAACCACCGCUUGAGAGCAGAGCCAGACCAGAGCUCGCGGUACUACCGCUCGGAAGAGCGGUACUACCGUGGGAGCCUACGGUACUACUGUGCUGGAGCCCGGUACUACCGUUGGCUCCUGCGGUAGUACCGCUCAAAAGAGCAGUACUACCGCUAGCUUGAGAAGAGCAAGACUGAUGCCUUCAUUUCGUAGAGACACAGUGAGACGGAGGAACACUCCAAGGAGCUCAAGGAAAGGCGGUGCAGAAGGGAAUGUGUACAUGAGAUUCCACCCAAACCUUUCCAAAGCCGCCCCCCUCUUAAUAGUACGGCUUUCCUACGACUCAACUCCACCGAACCAAACCAUAGAGAAAGGCCAUCUUCUAUAAUCUCCGAGGGGCAUCAAAUCGUCUUGUGUUUAGUUGUGAUAUAUCUGAAAAGCUCAAUACACACGAUUAGUCCGCAAAGGCAUUGUCAUCAAUCACCAAAACUACAUAGGGACAAUAAUGCCCUUACAAUCUCCCCCUUUUUGGUGGAUUGAUGACAAUACGAGAUUUGCACAAAUGAAAUGAAUAUAGCACAGGCAAACCCCACAACUUUUAAAAUAUAGGUGAGCUCCCCCUAGAUUCGUGCUAGAGUGUAAAGUGCUUUGGACUGCACGACACGAAUACUAGGAGUACCACUCCCCCUAUAUUUUAGAAACAAAGCAUAUCUGGCAAUAGAGAGUCUGACACUAGAUGAUAUGAGCAUAAUAUGAAUAGCAUGAUAAGCACAAGCUCAAUAAGGAGAUAACGAGAGAGUGCAUAUGUCUUACACCAUAUGAUAGACUUAAUCUCACGAGCACAACCAAACAAAAGCAAGCAGGCUCAACAACGGAAAGCAAAGCAAAUGAUGAAACACACAACACGCACGCAAAUCCUACACUCUCUCCCCCUUUGGCAUCGAGACACCAAAAAGGCAGAUAGGUCACCUACAACACAGGUGGUAGCUCAGGCGGAAAACGACUCAUCAUCGCCAGACUCCGCAGCAAGAACAUACUCCUCCUCUGAAUUGGUCCAAUGGUAGCUCUGCUUCGCCAUCCAGGCAGACUCUGGGGUGAUGUGCUUCUCACAGCCGCUUGCCACGUCCUCCCCGCAAGCCCUCAAGAUCCUGAUGUCGUGACGGUGACUCUCCUUCUGAGCAACAUGGGCCUUGUACUGCCCCUGAACCUGUAAGCAGAACAACCUCUUCAUCUUGUCCUUCAGCUUCUUUGCCCAAGAAGGCUCAGCAGAGGGAGGCGUGAAUACAGAACGAUCCUCAGCAACAUCUUCCUCCUCAAUCUCCUCCUCAUCAACAGCCAUCUUGGCAGCCUCUGUAGCAGUGGUGGUGUUAGCCCAUUGAGGCUUGAUGCGAAUCUUGAUGGGCUCAUGACGAAUCCAGCCUGGAGCUUCAAACUCCUCAUUGGGAAGGAGCUUCUCCCAUGUCUUGGAGAUCAGGUAAAACAGAUAAGGCCCAUAGAUGGGGACUUUAUGGUUGAACACGGCGAACUGAAGUUCACACCACAUGAUAUGUGAGACAUCAAGUGGCUGAGUCUGAGCCUGACGGGCAUCCUCACAAAGAAGCAUCAUGUCAACGAGAUAAGCAUGCACCUGUCCCAUGUCACCAAUGCGCGGGAAGAGCGUGUUCCGGAAGAGCCUAUGCAUGCUGUCAAGGAAGGGGUUGAGCACCCACACCUUCUUCGUGUUAGGAAGCGUCUUCUCAACAAGGUAUCGCAUGAGCUUGUUCUUGUUGGCAGAGUCAGCGUUGGCGUGAGGGCGAACUCCAACUAGCGUGUCGAGUCCUUCAUCGGGAACAAGGAGCAACUCCAUGAACUCCUUCCAGGUAGCAGACAGAUGUCGUCCAUUGGUCAUACAAGUCAUGGUCCUCUCUUCAUUGACGCCGAAGUGGACCAAAGCAAAGAACUGUGCAAUGAUCUCUGGAUCAAAGUCCUUGUGGAAGGUGAGAAUUUAUUCAAUGCCGAACUGCUCCACAAGAUCCAAGGCCUCUCCAAAGUAUCCACGGUGCUUCUCCUGCCUCAUGUGAAUCAUGUCGAUCUAGUGAACUUCAACAUAGUGAUUCUGCUUGGCCUUGAUCACAUCCAUAUAGAUCAGAUUCUGCUGCUUGUUCUAGAAGAGUUCAUUGCCUCGCGUGCUAGACCGGGGAGACACAUAAGGAUUGAUCUUUCUUCGAAUGACAAAUUCUGCCUGGGGCAUCUCAUCCAUGCCAAAGACGGGCUCCUUCUGUUUCUGGCGGUGUGCUUGGUCCUGCAUUGGGGAGCAGCAAAAGAUCCCUCUGGAACAUCAUUUGGGUUGCGCAGACGCUUGGACCCUGUGUCACGGCUGGGAUUCGAGCGACAAGGGAAACCGGAGCCACCACCUAGACACAAAGACACAAAGACAUGCACGGGAACAAAACGAAUCAAAAACAAAUGAAAGAGAAACACAAACACAUGCGACUUGGACAAAAGACAAAAGGCGUAGGAUGAUCUACGGUAGUACCGGGCGGGGUUCCGGAUGUAAAAACUUACAUCCGCGCCAACCGUGGAAGUACCACGCGUGGGGCGGAAGUAAUUUUUUACUUCCGGACACCCAGCGGUAGUACCGCACCAAGGUGCGGAAGUACCGCGGAGUAUCAGAUCCAGAAGGGGUUGUGGUAGUACCGCUCCAGGAGGAGCAGUAGUACCGCACGGAAUGAGAAACCUCCAUAGAGGACGCGGAUCUGGAUCUAGAACCUCCGCAUGACAACUUCGGUACUACCGUUGAUCAAACGGAACUAUUUUGACUAUCCAAAGAGCAUGCAACUACUCUACCACUCUACAACGAACUCCACUUGCACAGAUUUAGCCAAAAAUCUCAAGAACACCACAUGCAUCUCCCCAAAACCUAGAAACACAAGGAAGGACAAAAACGAGAGGUACUUGGGGAAAAACCUGGGUCCAUGGCAAGAGGGCGAGGUGGGGAGCGAUCCCACCGGUCGGAAUCCGAGGAGAGUGGCCGGAGAUGGAGAUCUGGCGAAGGCCUCCGGCGCCGUUCUUGGUCAGGAGAGAGAGAGAGAGACGGGGUGGGGAAAAGAGAUGAAUGGGUAUGGGGGAGUUAGAACUCCCCCUGUCCUGCUCUUAACCCCCACCUGCUCGCAUGGGCGCGGAAGUACCGCAGGUCAUCGCGGUAGUACCGCCCGGGCGGAAGUACCGCAUGCUGCGCGGUAGUACCGCUCGUUCAGCGGAAGUAAAAAAUUUCUGCCGCGGAAGUAGCGGUAGUACCGUGCCCCUAGAGGGCCACACACUUGGAGAGACCCACCAACUCCUGCGGUAGUACCACGGCACACCACGGUAGUACCGUAAACCAAGAAAGAGCUAGAACACAAGAGAGAAGAAGGAGGAAAAAGGGAAACACCACCGGAGAAACACCAAACAACACGAGAGAGAAAACAACUUCUCCAAGGAAGGGCGGUGGCCGGAGCCACCUAUAUUUGAGUCAAUUGGUAUGGCACCGCGAAGAAUUAUCCUUGGGUCCAUGACCAAAACUCGCCUUUGAAGCACAAGUACCAUAAAAAAUGGCUAAUGUGAAAGAGUUAAAUAAUAUUUGCAUAAUGGGGGGAGGAAGAGUUCAUUGAGAGAACAACACUCCCCCUAUGUCCAUGCCUACACCUAGACUAGACAACAAGUAGAGAGAGGAGUGGUGCACACGGGCUCAAGUCACAUUGCUUGAAUCAAUGAUAUUUAGCUCAUGCCUUAACUCACGAAAUCUUGCUUCAUCCAAGGGCUUCGUGAAAAUAUCUGCAAGGUUAUCAUGAGUGUUGACAUACUUGAGCUUGAUCUCCCCUCGCCUAAUGUGAUCCCGGAUGAAGUGAUACCGAAUCUCUAUAUGCUUCAUCUUGAAAUGUUGCACUGGGUUGAGAGAAAUCUUGAUGGCACUUUCAUUGUCACACCAAAGAGGCACUUUGUCACAAAUGACACCGUAUUCCUUUAAAGUUUGCCUCAUCCACAAGAGUUGUGCACAACAACUACCAGCCGCUACAUAUUCCGCUUCGGUGGAUGAGAGAGACACACAACUUUGCUUCUUGGAAGACCAACUCACCGAAGAGCAACCAAGAAAUUGGCACCCUCCAGAAGUGGACUUCCUAUCCACUUUGUCUCCUGCCCAAUUGGAAUCCGUAAAUCCUUCAAGCUUGAAGUUUGCUCCUCUUGGGUACCAUAGGCCAAAGUUUGGGGUAUGAGCCAAAUAUCAAAAGAUUCGCUUGACCGCCACAAAAUGGCUUUCCUUCGGUGCGGCUUGAAACCGUGCACACAUACCCACACUCAACAUGAUAUCCGAUCUAGAUGCACAAAGGUAAAGCAAGGAUCCAAUCAUAGAGCGAUAUACCUUUUGGUCCACCGCUUUACCAUUGGGAUCAAUGUCAAGUUGGCACUUGGUAGGCAUUGGAGUAGAAGCCGGCUUGACAUCACUUAGCUUGAAUCUCUUAAGCAUGUCUUGAGUGUAUUUGGCUUGGUUGAUGAAGGUACCUUCUCUUCUUUGUUUGAUAUCAAAACCAAGGAAGAACUUCAACUCUCCCAUCGAAGACAUCUUGAACUUAGAGGUCAUGAGAGCGGCAAAUUCUUCAUUGAAAGCUUUGUUAGGGGAACCAAAGAUAAUGUCAUCAACAUAUAGUUGGCACACAAACAACUCCCCUUUGACCUUCUUAGUAAAAAGAGUGGGAUCGAUUUUCCCAACUUCAAAUCCAUGAUCUUGUAACAACUCGGUAAGGUGGUCAUACCACACACGUGGGGCUUGUUUAAGGCCAUAGAGUGCCUUAUCGAGUUGAUACACAUGAUCCGGGAAGUAAGGAUCCUCGAACCCGGGGGGUUGCUUGACAUACACCAACUCAUUAAUAGGACCAUUAAGAAAAGCACUUUUCACAUCCAUUUGUUGUAACUUAAAGUUAUGAUGGGAAGCAUAAGCAAUCAACAAACAAAUGGAUUCAAGGCGAGCAACGGGAGCAAAGGUUUCACCGUAGUCGAUACCCUCGACUUGGGAGUAGCCUUGUGCUACCAAUCUUUCCUUGUUGCGAAUGAUGUUCCCAUGAGCAUCUUGCUUGUUCUUGAAAAUCCACUUGGUUCCAAUGACAUUGUGGUUCCUCGAUGGCCUUGGCACCAAUCUCCAAACCUUGUUGUACUCGAAGUUGUUGAGUUCUUCAUGCAUGGCAUUGAGCCAAUCCAAGUCUUCGAGCGCCUCAUAGACCUUUGGGAUUCAACACAAGAGACAAACACGUGAUGUUCACAAUAGUUUGCUAAUUGUCUACGAGUUCUUACCCCCUUUCUUAGGCUUCCAACCACAUUCUCCAUGAGAUGGCCUUUGGUGGUGAGUUUGGAAGCAAUCUUUGCGGCACGACGCUCUAAUUCCUCCUCCGAUGUGGAAGGAGGAGGGUUAACUUGAUUAUCUUGAGUGCCGUCUUGAGCUUGUUCUUGAUCUUGAGCUUGCUCAUGAUCUUGAACUUGCUCGAGGGGGAGAACUUGACCUUGGGCAUCAUUUGGAGGUUCACCACCAUCUUGAGAUUGAUCUUGCCCUUGGUCUUGUUCAUGAGGUUGAGGGCCUACACUUUGUUCUUCGGAAGCGUGUGAGUCUUGAGUAGGCGAAGGCUCCACUUGAGUGGAGCAUUGUCCUUCUCCUUUGGCCACAAGGGGUUCCUCAAUGGGUAGAACAAGACCAAUACCCAUUCUUCUUAUGUCUUGGGGAGGAAUUUCAUCACCUACAUCACAAGUACCACUUUGCUCCACUUGGGAGCUGUUAUUUUCGUCAAACUCCACGUUACACGUCUCCUCAAUGAGUCUGGUGGACUUAUUGAGAACACGGUAAGCAUGAGAGUUUGUAGCAUAACCAACAAAUAUGCCCUCAUAAGCUCUAGCCUCAAAUUUAGACAAAUGAACACCUUUCUUGAGAAUGAAACACUUACACCCGAACACCCGGAAGUACUUGAGAUUGGGCUUGUUUCCGGUGAGUAUCUCAUAAGGAGUCUUGUUCGAGCCUUUGCGGAGAUAGAGCCGAUUGGAUGCAUGACAUGCAGUGUUGAUGGCUUCGGCCCAAAAGUUGUAUGGAGACUUGAACUCCGCCAUCAUGGUCCUUGCUGCAUCCAUCAAUGUCCGGUUUUUCCUCUCUGCAACACCAUUUUGUUGAGGGGUAUAUGGAACAGAAUAUUGAUGCUUGAUCCCCUCAUCACUAAGAAACUCAUCCAAGGUGUAGUUCUUGAACUUGGUGCCGUUGUCACUUCUUAUUGUCAAGAUCUUUGCAUUAUGUUGACGUUGAGCUUCAUUUGCAAAGUCGAUGACGGUUUGUUGAGUCUCACUCUUCCUCUUGAAGAAGUAUACCCAAGUUUAUCUUGAAUAAUCAUCCACAAUCACCAAGCAAUACUUUCUACCCCCAAGACUAUCAAAGGAUGGAGGCCCAAAGAGGUCCAUGUGAAGGAGCUCCAAGGGUCUCUUCGAGUAGAUGAUAGUCGUGGGAGGGUGAGUCGUCUCAUGAAGCUUUCCUUCGAUACAAGCACUGCAAGCACGAUCUUUGGCAAAACUAACAUUUGUUAGUCCACGGACAUGGUCCCCCUUGAGAAGACUUUGCAAAGAUCUCAUAUUGAGUGGGCUAAAUGGCGAUGCCAAAGCCAUCCCACAUCAACUUUAGCCAUUAGGCAUGUCGCGGUCUUAGUGGGUUGCUUCGAAAAGUUAAUCACAUAGAGACCGUUCUCGACAUGCCCAACAAAGGCUACCUUAAGAGUCUUGCUCCACAAGAGGGCCACGGUAUCAAUAUCAAAGAAGGUGGCAAAGCCCAUGAGUGCAAGUUGACGAACGGAAAGUAAAUUGAACGCAAGGGACUCAACAAGCAUGACUUUCUCGAUCGUUAGAUCAUGAGAAAUGACAACCUUGCCAAGACCCAAUACCUUAAAAUGUGAGGCAUCACCCCACUCGACAUUGGUGGGCAUAGAUGGGAUCUUUUGCACGUCCACCACCAAGUCCUUGCUCUCGGUCAUAUGAUUUGUUGCUCCACUAUCGAGAAACCAUGAUCCCCCACCGGAAGCAAACAACUACAAGAGAUCAAUGCUUGGUUUUAGGUACCCAUUUAGUAAUUGGUCCUUUGAUGUUAGUAACAAGGGUCUUAGGAACCCAAAUAGACCAUUCAAUGUACUCAUAAUAAGAACCAACAAAUUUAGCAUAAACAUGCCCAUCACUAGCACGGCACAACACAUAAGAGGGGUUAAAGUCGCCGGCUUUGUUGGGAGAGAUGGCUUUGCCCUUUUUGGCAUCACCACUCUUCGCAUUGUUCUUCUUCUCCUUAGGAGCACCCUCUCCCUCCUUCACAAAAGUUUGCUUAAGCGGGGGAGGUCGUUUGGUCUUGUUAUUCUUCUUCUUGAUAUUCUUCUUGUUCUUGGACUUGGGUGAGAACCCAACUCCUUGCCCACAACUUCCUUUUGAUUGCUCAAAAGGUCAUUUAGGUUCUUCUCACCUUGUAUGCAUGACACAAGACCUUUCUCGAGUUGUUCCUUCAACUUGGCAUUCUCCUCCACAAGAUGCACAUGCUCACAACACGGGUUAGUAGCAUUUGCAUUAUCAAUUAAGACCAUGUGAGGAAAUGUGGCCUUUUCCUUGGUUAGCUUAACUUGGAGUUGAGCAUGAGACUCCUUGAGGUUUGCAUGAGCACCUUUCAAGACCUUAUGGGCCUUGUCAAGUACAUCAAACUCCUCCUUGAGUCUAGCAUGAUCAACCCCAAGUUUAGCCUUCUCGGAAGUUAGCACACGAGACACAACAAGAGCAUGAUCAAGAUCUUUCUUCAAUUUGGCAUGGUCAUUGUUGUGUGACUCCUCAAGAGCCAAACGAUGCCCACGCUCUUCCUCAAGUGCAUUAGAGAGAUACGAUAUCUCAUCGGCAUAGUCACGACUAUGACCUUCCAUCUUAGAGAUGGUUUCUUCGUGAGCCUCGAUCAUGUCAUUGGCUUCACCAAGUUGUUCCAAGAGAGCAAUGAAGUGCUUCUUGGAUUUGCCCUUGAGCUUACUCAUGAAGGACUCAAAUUCAUUUACCUCCUCAUUAGACCCCUUACCAUCAUCAAGGCUAACCGUCAAAGAAGGAUUAGGAAUAAUGGUGGUUUUGAUGUUGGGGGUUACCUUGUUCGUGGCUUUAGCCAUGAGGCACUUGGCGGUGAUGUUCUCGUUGGGUGAGUCGAAGAGAGACACCCGGGGAGUUGUGGCAAUGGCAACGGAUGCCAUAGCCAUUGCUUCACUAUCUUCAUCAUCAUCGUCAUCCUCAUGGUAUUCUUCUUGAAACACCGACCCGCGAGUAGGAGUCUUCUUGGUGAAGUUGUUCUUGUUAGGGAAGGACUUGGCUUUGUCUUUUCGGAUGAACUUGCCACCAUUGUCUUCCCGCUUCUCGUAAGGACAAUCCGCAACGAAGUGGCUCACAUUGCCAUAGUUGAAACAAGUUCUAACUCAUUGCUUGCCCUUUAGGCCACUUGAGUUGUUCUUGUUGAAGUUGGGUCUUGUAUUCUUCUUGCUCCAAAAUUGUCUUGAGGCAAGAGCCAUGUGCUCAUGAUAAUCAUAUUUCGUGUCUUCGGGGUUGCUCUCCUCAUCUUCCUCUUCUUCCUCUUCUUCCACACUAACCUUGGCCUUCAAGGCAAGGUUGGGCUUCUUUGCCCUUUGAGAACAGAGCACCGUAUUGUCGGUGGUCUUGUCCAAGAUGCUCAUUGCAACAAACUCAUCCAACACUUCGCUUGAGGUCAUGGAGUGGAAGUCCGGUCUUUGACGAAUGACGGAGGACAUGGCCUUGUUGUAGGGCAUCAUGGCCUUGAGGAACUUGCGCUUGAUCCAAUUGUCAUCCGUGUCCUUGCUCCCAUGAUCUCGGAGUGACACCACGAGUUUGAUCACUCUUCGAAAGAGCUCAUGAGGUUCUUCAUCUUCUUUCAUUGCAAACUCAUCGGCUUCAUCUUGCACCACUUCAAAGUUGGAGCGUUGAAUGGUAGCACUUCCCCGAUAGAGAGACACAACACAUUGCCAUGCGUCUUUAGCCACGACAUGAGGUCGAAGAUGAGGGAGAUCUUCGGGAAGGAUGGCAUCUUGGAUGAUGAAGAGAGCACUCUCAUUGAAUUGAUUAUCCACGGCUUCUCGAGGGGUGAAGUUGCUUGGGUCAUGUGGAUAGAAACCUUCUUCUAUGAUUCUCCAAAGAUUAGUAUUCACAUGUUUUAAGUGACGCUUGAAACGAUAAACCCAAGAAUCAAAAUCCUCAUUUUUCACAAUCUUAGGAGGAGGACCGGCAUGAUUUAAAUGAGUAGAGGGAAUCGGUCCACCAUAAGUAGGAGGUUCCACAUGGGCAUAAAUGCCGGUGCCAUUUCCACCACUAGUAGAAGGACCCUUUUCACUAUUAGCUUCCCCCUUGUUGGAGUUAGCAUCCGUCACCUUGUUAGUGGGAUCACCCACUUUCAUCGGCGAGGUGGAUAGUUUAAGUCCUUCUAGGAAUUUAGUAAACAUGCUUUCAACCUCGGUCGUCAUGGAGGUUUUCAAUGUGUCUAAAGCCACAUUGAAUUCCUCACGGGAGAUCGAGGUUCCCCCAUCGGCCGUAGACGAGAUAGGAUUCACACGGAGUGCUCCUCCGCACCGUCGUUGGUGUCAACCAUACUCUUCGGAUGGCAAAGUCCUUAAUAAAGAGACAAGGCUCUGAUACCAAUUGAAAGGAUCGAUAUGGCUGACUAGAGGGGGGGGGGUGAAUAGGCAAGUAACAAUUUUUAAGCUUUUCUUUAACAAUUUAAACCUUGCAACAAAGUAGGUUGUCUAGAUAUGCAACUAUGUGGACAACCUAUAUGAUGCAAAGACAACUAGCACACAAGCAAGCAAUAGAUACAACACAAGUAAGCUUGCAAAAGUAAAGGCACGAAAUAACCAAGAGUGGAGCCGGUGGAGAGGAGGAUGUGUUACCGGAGUUCCUUCCUUUUAAGGGGAAGUAUGUCUCCGUUAGAGUGGUGUGGAGGCACAAUGCUCCCCAAGAAGCCACUAGGGCCACCGUAAUCUCCUCACGCCCUCACACAAUGCGAGAUGCUGUGAUUCCACUAUUGGUGCCCUUGAAGGCGGCGACCGAACCUUUACAAACAAGGUUGGGGCAAUCUCCACAACACUUGGAGGCUCCCAACGACACCACGAAGCUUCACCACAAUGGAGUAUGGCUUCGAGGUGACCUCAACCGUCUAGGGUGCUCAAACACCCAAGAGUAACAAGAUCCGCUAGGGAUUAGUGGGGGGAAUCGAAUAUCUCUUGGUGGAAGUGUAGAUCGGGGCCUUGUCACCCAAUCCUGAGCAAAUCAACAAGUUUGAUUGGCUAGGGAGAGAGAUCGGCCAAAAAGGAAGCUUGGAGCAACAAUGGAGUUUAGGGUUGGAAGAGGUGAGUCUUCUUGGAGAAGAAGAACCCCUUUUAUAGUGGGGGGACAAUUCCAACCAUUGCCCACCACUCAGCCCACAGCCCACGGAACUACCGCUCCAUAGGCGCGGUACUACCGCACUGGCUUCCGGUACUACCACGAUGGACCGCGGUACUACCGUGAGCACGACAGAGACCUGACCAGGCAAAAGGAGCACCGAUAGGGCGCGGUAGAUCCGCAUGAGCGGUACUACCGCGGCCCCAUGCGGUACUUCCGCAAGGCAGACACGGGCCAAGCCUGGUAGGCACAGAUGUAAAAAAUUACAUCCGUGACUACCUCCGCUGAGAAAAUGUCGUGCAAAAAUCCGACAUGGAACUACCGCGACCGAGGGUGCGGUACUACCAUGAAGGGUGCGGAUGUAAAAAAUUACAUCCGCCCCUACCUUUGCUCCUGCUCCGGAACCUCGCCUGGUGCCACGAUACUACCGCGCCUCAGCACGGUACUACCACGGGGAGCGCGUAUGUAAAAAAUUACAUCCGCGCCAACCACCGCUUGAGAGCGGAGCCAGACCAGAGCUCGCGGUACUACCGCUCGGAAGAGCGGUACUACCGUGGGAGCCUACGAUACUAUCGUGCCGGAGCCCGGUACUACCGCUGGCUCCUGCGGUAGUACCUCUCAAAAGAGCAGUACUACCGCUAGCUUGAGAAGAGCAAGACUGAGGCCUUCAUUUCGCAGAGACACGGUGAGACGGAGGAACACUCCGAGGAGCUCGAGGAAAGGCGCUGCAGAAGGGAAUGUGUAUGUGAGAUUCCACCCAAACCUUUCCAAAGCAGACCCCUCUUAAUAGUACGACUUUCCUACGACUCAACUCCACCGAACCAAACCGUAGAGAAAGGCUGUCUUCUAUAAUCUCCGAGGGGCAUCAAAUCGUCUUGUGUUUAGUCGUGAUAUAUCUAAAAAUCUCAAUACACACGAUUAGUCCGCAAAGGCAUUGUCAUCAAUCACCAAAACUACAUAGGGACAAUAAUGCCCUUACACUUUGCUACUGAUCACUUUGCUAAAGAUAAUUAAUCUCUAGGUGUGGUUGAAUUGACAACUCAGCUGCUAAUACUUGCAAAUAUUCUUUGGCUCCCCUUGUGUCGAAUCUAUAAAUUUGGGUUGAAUACUCUACUCUCAAAAACUGUUGCGAUCCCCUAUACUUGUGGGUUAUCAAGACCUUUUUCUGGUGUCGUUGCCGGGGAGCAUAGCUAUAUUUGUUGAGUCACUUGGGAUUAUUAUCAUAUUAUCACUAUGAAGAAUCUGAAGGAUGCUAAGACUAAGAUUUUUCCCUCUAAGACGAGGGGAGGUAAGGAACUGCUAUCCAGGUCCGCUUUAGAUACACCUUCUGUUAUAAGUAAACUUGCAACAACACCACAUGCUAUUAAUUCCGAUAUGUCGCAAGUUAUUGAUGAUGCUACUUCUACUAUGAAUGCUACUCAUGAUGAUGCUAGUGCCUUGCUUGAUGAUAAUGUGCCACUAGGUGAAUUCCUUGAUGAACAAAUUGCUAGAGUAAGACAACAUGAUAUUGUUGAAACUGGUGAUGAGCUUGAAACUGAAAAUCUUGAAACACCUACUAGAAUUAGCCCUCCUAGAUAUGAAUUGCCAAAGGUACCGGAAGGUUAUGCUAUGAGUGAGGAGGCAACUAGAGAUAUUCUUGCUUGUAAGGAUAGAGAUGAUCUAGAAAAAUUAUUAUGCAAGUAUAAGGAAAGAUCUUUGAAUGCUAGAAUCAAAUGUGAUCCUAAGUUUAUUACUUCACCUAUCUUUAUUGAUGAUAAGGAUUAUGAAUUCUCUGUCGACCUAGAGUUAAUUACUUUGGUUGGAUCUGAUCCAUUCCAUGGUUAUGAAACUGAAACUGUUGUGGCACAUCUUACUAAGUUGAAUGACAUAGCCACCCUUUUUGCUCAUGAUGAGAAGAUUCAUUAUUACUAUAUCCUCAAGUUAUUUCUGUUCUCAUUAAAGGGUGAUGCUAAAGCUUGGUGCAAUACUCUUACUCCUGAUUGUGUGCGUAGUCCCAGGAUAUGGUUUAUUACUUCUCUAAAAAAUAUUUCCCUGCUCAUAAGAAACAAGCUGCCUUGCAGGAAAUAUUUAACUUUGUGCAAAGUGAAGAAGAGAGUCUCCCACAAGCUUGUGGGAGGCUUCUCCAAUUGAUUAAUUCUUUGCCUGAACAUCCUCUUAAGAAAAAUGAAACACUUGAUGUCUUCUAUAAUGGACUAACCGAUGCUUCUAGGGAUUUCCUAGAUAGUUGUGCUGGUUGUGUUUUCAGGGAACGAACUAUUGAGCAAGUUGAAGAAUUAUCGAAUAACAUAUUGAAAAAUUAUGAUGAUUGGACUCCUCGAGAAACACCUCUUAAACCCACUCUGAAGAAGAGGGGUAUUUUAUAUCUCAGUCAUGAAGAUAUGCAAGCGGCAAAGAAAUCUAUGAAGGAAAAAGGUAUUAAAGCUGAGGAUGUCAAAAAUUUACCACCUACUAAAGAAAUACAUGGGCUUGAUACAGCACCACCACCUAAGGUGGUAGAGGUAAAUUCUUUAAUGAAAUUCAAUGAUAGUGAUGAUCCUCAUAAUAAACAUCCUAGUCAAUGUGUUUAUGAGUUUGACAAUUACAUUAGAAAGCAAGAUCGCUUCAAUGCAAAUGUUAUGAAACAAUUGAAAUACAACUCUGGUAUGAUUGCUCGCUUAAGUGACUUGCUAUUUAGAAUCUCAAAUGAUGUUAGAGGUGUAGGAAAACAUGCCUCUAUGGUUCAAACUCAGUUAGAACAAGUUGCUAAAUCCCAAAGAGAGUUGCUUGAUGAAAUGAACAAUAAUAUAAGUGACUUUGCUAUUAGAGUAGCAACUAGAGGAGGUAAAAUGACUCAGGAACCACUUUAUCCUGAGGGACACCCAAAGAGAAUUGAACAAGACUCUCAAAGAAUUAACACUGAUGCACCCAGUCUUUCUAAAAAGAAAAAGAAGAAGAAAAACAAUAGGACUUUGCAUGCCUCUAGUGAACUGAAUUAGAAAAACCUCCUGAUAAUGAUAAUCAAAUUUCUAUCUCUAAUACUGAAACUUAAUAUGGUAGUGAACACUCACCUUAUGAUAAUGAAAAAGAUAAUGAUGAGGUUCAUGAAGAUACCCAAACUAAUAAUAAAGAACCAUACAAUGAUGUUGAGAUAGAACCAACUGUUAAUCUUGAUAACCCACAACCAAAGAAUAAAAGAUAUGAUAAAAGGGACUUUGUUGCUAGAAAACAUGGUAAGGAAAGAGAACCAUGGGUUCAAUAACAUAUGCCAUUUCCACCUAAGUCAAUUAAAAGUAAAGAUGAUGAAGAAUUUGAACGGUUUGCUGAAAUGCUGAGGCCAUUCUUUUUUGCAUACUCGCUUGAUUGAUAUCUUAAAAAUGCCUCCUUAUGCAAAGUACAUGAAAGACACCAUCACCAAUAAGAGAAAAAUACCGGAAGCUUAAAUCUCCACCAUGCUUGCUAAUUAUACUUUUAAAGAUGGAGUACCUAAAAAACUUGGCGAUCCAGGAAUACCAACUAUACCUUGCUCCAUCAAAGGAAACUAUGUGAAAACUGCCUUAUGUGAUUUGGGAGCUGGUGUUAGUGUUAUGCCUUUCUCUUUAUAUAAAAGACUUGAUUUGAAUAAACUCACGCCUACUGAAAUAUCUUUGCAAAUGGCGGACAAAUCCACUGCCAUACCUGCUGGUAUUUGUGAGGAUGUGCCCGUUGUUGUUGCUAAUGUUACUAUUUUGACUGACUUUGUUAUACUUGAGAUGCCUGAGGAUGACAACAUGUCGAUUAUCCUUGGUAGACCCUUCUUGAAUACUACAGGAGCUGUUAUUAAUUGCAAUAAAAGCAAGGUCACUUUUCAUAUCAAUGGUAAUGAGCAUACGGUGCACUUUCCAAAGAAACAAUUCCAAGUGAAUGGUAUUAAUCUUAUUAAAAAAUCUCCAACAAUUACUAUUGUAAGUUUUCAACUGUCUCUACCUACUAUUAAAAAUAAAUAUGAAAAGCUUAUUGUUGGGGACAUUCAUAUCUCCGUUGAGGUAACUUAGUGAUUCAUGAAAGUUCUUUGGUUUCAUGCUAAUCGAAAGUGGUUGUUAAUAAGACUUGAUCAACCUUAUUAAUGGAUCAUUUUUUAGAGGUAUGAAGUUGAUGAAUUUAGUGAGCACUACCUUCUGUCCCUACCUCUUGUUUUCUGUUUUUCUUAGUUAAAUAAAAUAAAAUGCCAUGCUUUGUCUGUUUUCUGAGUUUUCCGUGCAAUAAAAAGUGACCCAAAAUAUGAGUUUUCAGAAUGCUCUGAAAAUUUAAUACAUUUUUUUCUGAAUAUUUAAGAAUUUUUGGUGCAAAUAAUAUUAGAGGAAGGUGCACCAGGUGGGCACAACCCACUUGGGCGUGCCAGGACCCCCAGGCGCAUCCUGGUGGGUUGUGGUCCCCACAUGGGCCCCCUCACUUAUCUCUUCAUCCCACAUCAUCACCUACCUCCAGAAAAAAAAUCACCAUUGCUCUCUCUCUCUCUCUCUCAUGUUUUUGAUCCCGAAACCGCGGAUUUCAAUCUCUUUGCUCGAAGCUCCAUUUCCGAAACUCUGUCGUGGAAUUGUUGCUUGGUAUGUGACUCCUCCAUGUGUCCAAUUAGUUUUUGCUUUAGUGGUUUAUAUUUUGAAUAAUUAGCUACUCUUGGUGCUGCUGUAGAUGAGCUUGCAUGUUGAAUUCUAAGAGUUCUAAGUAGUUUGAAUGCUUGCUAUGUCCUCUAUACACCCCUAUGAGUAGUUGCUUACAAUCUUAUGAAGUUUUGUUGAGAAAUAUUUUGUGGACUAAUUUUUUUAGAAUUUUGUUCAUUGGAAAAACAUGAGUUUCUUUAGGAAGUUUGCUUCCAAGAAGAGCUCCAAGGGAGUUAUUAGGGAGUCAUCUGACAGUGAUCUCCACACCCGGAGAUUGGCGGAGUUACGUCCAUGCGAAUGGCCGCAUAAUCCGUUCAUGGAAGGGGCCGGAAUCCUUCAGGAGUUUGCACAAUACGCUGCUAAUGUCGGCCUCACCGACUUCAUCGCAGCUGAAUGUGAACAGUAUCAUCUUAUCACAAAUUUCUUUGUGCAAAACUUUCAUUUCCAUUCUAGGAAUAAUCCCCCUAAGGUGCAGUUUAAUUUAUAUGUUGAAACCCAUCAGAUACCACCUACUGAAUUUUGUGACAUAUGCAUGCUUCCUUCUGAUGGUGGUUUGGUAGAGCCUAGACCCGUGGAGUUUGAUGGUUUUUACCAUACUCUGACAGUUGGGGAUGAGAGAGGGGUAUCGGGUGUCACUGCUACUAGCUUGCAUUUUCCUGUUGUACAUUAUUUUGCUCUAUUCAUUCCAAAGUGCUUCCUUGCUAGAGAGAAGGUAGGUGCACUUAGCACUCCAUACUUUGCUGUUUCACGUCGCGUACUUUAUGGCGACAACACAUUUAGCUUGGGAGCUAUUGUGGCACGCCGCCUUCACAUUAACAGAUCCAAGGGUAAAAUACAUGGGGGCAUUUACGCUACUCGCUUGGCAACUCACUUUAACGUUCAGAUACGCCAGCAUGAUCAUCCUUUGCCCAAGGUUUACCUAGAUCGAGCAGCUAUGGAAGACCACCAGUUUAUUGUUGUCGAUUACCCUUGAUAUCCCUAUUCCUUAUAACUUAGUUUUCAGUGAGAACACUCGUGAUAUUAUUCCUUCGCCUGCACCCGCUUUGUUUGAUCCUAUUGCCAGGCACAAAUACAGGAUUAUGCGUGAGGACAUUGUUGCUUACCGGAACGACCAGGCUGCGGCACAAGAGGAGCCUCAGCAGUGGGAUCCAUAGGUGCCCGCUCCUCAACACUUCAACAUAGGACCCCAUGGCUUCUACAACUGGUGAUUACCAAGUUAGGCCAAAAGCCUAAGCUUGGGUGAGUACGUAUUUCCAUUGACAUUACAUUCAUGUUCACACAUUUCAUUAUAGUUGUCGGUGUUCACACUUUUUCAUUGUAUUAUCCAUGUUAAGUUUAUUUUCUUGCUUUCUUCUUGUGUGUUUGAAAAACUUUGAGAAAAUCCAAAAACACAUUUCUUGCUUCUUUUUGAUUUUUCUUCCUAGUUUAAAUUGUUGUGGCACUAAAAAGAAAACCCACAAAGAUUUCUUUGUUCUUCUUUUGCUUGUUGGGAGCUUUCCUGUGUAAAUAGUUUUUCUUGUUUUUGCUUUUCCCUUUUUUAUUUGCUUGUUUACGAAUAAACAAAAACUCCAAAGAUAUUCCAGUGUGUUUCUCUGAAUUGCUUUUCUUUCUAUUGGGUCAUACCGAGGAGAAGACCACGAUGAAAAUGUUGAGUGGCUCUCAUAUGCAUUAUUGUUGAUCUCACAAAGAGUCCAUAUUACUUUGUCCUCUCCUUUUGAAUAAAAUGUUUAAAGGUCCCAGCUUAGUCCAUGACACUGUUGCACUAUUAUUAUUUUCAAAUCAUUCAGUCGUGCAAGUGAAAGUCAAUAAUGAUGAUAUUCGAUGAAUUCGCCAUGGCAGAGAGAAAUGGGUAUGAACUCGACUUGUUCUGUUUUUGUAAAUAUGUUUAAUCUAGUAUCCAUGAUUCAGCCCAUUAUGAUCAAACAUGUUGAAAGAACAUGCGGUGCCCCAUGUUUGGUUUUUGUAAUUGAUGACAAUCUCUAUAGACUAAUGGUUGCCUUGAGUUAUAUUUGAAGGAUUUGUCCAUAGGCUUUUCUUGGAGUCCAUUUGUUGGUUUCAAGGAGAGUUUGUGAUGACCAAGGUGCUAUUCAAGGAAUUACCUAAAGAUUGGUCAAGUGAGAGGUUGAUCGAGACUAAGUCAAAGAGUAAAUCAAAGUGAUCAACACACAAAGCAUACAAGAUGUACCAAGGGAUCAAGUGAUCCCAUGGUAUAGUAAGCAUUGUCCAUUACGCUUUGUAUGCUAACCCAUGGUAUUCGUGAGAGUUCUUUGUGGGGUUAGGUUGUGGUGUGUGAUACGUCUCCAACGCAUCUAUAAUUUUUGUUUGUUCCAUGCUAUUAUAUUACCUGUUUUAGAUGUUUAUGGGCUUUACUUUACACUUUUAUAUCAUUUUUGGGACUAACCUACUAACCGAAGGCCCAACCCGAAUUGCUGUUUUUUGCCUAUUUCAGUGUUUCGAAGAAAACGAAUAUCAAACGGAGUCCAAACGGAAUGAAACCUUCAGGAGUGAUUUUUUGGGAACAAACGCAAUCUAGGAGACUUAGAGUGGACAUCAAGAAGCAGCCGAGGCAUCCACGAGGAUGCAAGGCACGCCCUAGGGGAGUGGGCGCGCCCCCCACCCUCGUGGCUCUCCUGACCGACUUCCUUCGCCUAUAUAUAUCUACAUACCCCGAAAACAUCUAGGAGCACCACGAAACCCUAUUUCCACCGCCGAAACCUUCUGUACCCGUGAGAUCCCAUCUUGGAGCCUUCGCCGACGCCCCGUCGGAGGGGGAAUCGAUCACGGAGGGCUUCUACAUCAACACCAUAGCCUCUUCGAUGAGUUGUGAGUAGUUUAACACAAACCUUCGGGUCCAUAAUUAUUAGCUAGAUGGCUUCUUCUCUCUCUUUGAAUCUCAAUACAAUGUUCUCCUCGAUCUUCUUGGAGAUAUAUUCGAUGUAACUCUUUUGCGGUGUGUUUGUCGAGAUCCGAUGAAUUGUGGGUUUAUGAUCAAGUUUAUCUAUGAGAAAUAUUUGAAUCUCCUCUAAAUCCUUUUAUGUAUGAUUGGUUAUCUUUGCAAGUCUCGUCGAAUUAUCAGUUUGGUUUGGCCUACUAGAUUGAUCUUUCUUGCAAUGGGAGAAGUGCUUAGCUUUGGGUUCAAUCUUGCGGUGUCCUUUCCCAGUGACAUCAGGGGCAGAAAGGCGCGUAUUGUAUUGUUCCCAUCAAGGAUAAAAAGAUGGGGUUUAUAUCAUAUUGCUUGAGUUUAUCCCUCUACAUCAUGUCAUCUUGCCUAAUGCGUUACUCCGUUGUUACGAACUUAAUACUCUAGAUGCAUGCUGGAUAGGGGUCGAUGUGUGGAGUAAUAGUAGUAGAUGCAGAAUCGUUUCGAUCUACUUGUCGCGGACGUGAUGCCUAUAUACAUGAUCAUGCCUAGAUAUCCUCAUAACUAUGCACUUUUCUAUCAAUUGCUCGACAAUAAUUUGUUCACCCAUCGUAAUACUUAUGUUAUCUUGAGAGAAGCCACUAGUGACACCUAUGGCCCCCCGAGUCUGUUUUCCAUCAUAUAAGUUUCUAAUCUACUUUAUUUUGCAAUCUUUACAUUUCAAUCUAUAUCAUGAAAAUACCAAAAAUAUUUAUCUUAUCUUAUUAUAUCUAUCAGAUCUCACUUUUGCAAGUGGCCGUGAAGGGAUUGACAACCCCUUUAUCGCGUUGGUUGCAAGGUUCUUGUUUGUUUUUGUAGGUACGAGGGACUUGCGUGUACCCUCCUACUGGAUUGGUACCUUGGUUCUCAAAACUGAGGGAAAUACUUACGCUACUUUGCUGCAUCACCCUUUCCUCUUCAAGGGAAAACCAACGCAGUGCUCAAGAGGUAGCAAGAAGGAUUUUUGGCGCCAUUGCCGGGGAGGUAUUCGCUCAAGUCAAGACAUACCAAGUACCCAUCACAAACUUAUCUCCCUCGCAUUACAUUAUUUGCCAUUUGCCUCUCGUUGUCCUCUCCCCCACUUCACCCUUGCCGUUUUAUUCGCCCUCUCUUUCCCGUUUGCCCCUCUUUUUCGCUUGCCUCUUGUGUGACCUGUUUUCCCUAAUGGCCUUGCCUAAAACGCCGAUCUUCACCUUAGAAGGUUGGAAGAGAUCGAAAUCAACAUUAGAAUCUUUAUGACUUUACAAUUUGAGCAUAAUAAUUUCUUUAGAAAUGAGCUUAAAGAACAAAAAAGUUUUAUGGAAUACAUGAAUAAAGAGCUUGAUGAUAUGUCUAAGGAAUUUUAUGGUUUGAAUUCUCAGAUUACUCGGCUUGAAAAAUCAAUAGCUCAAAUUUCUGAUAAGCAAGCCACCUUAGUUAAUAAGAUGGCCGCCAAACCAGAAGGGUUAGAGGGAAAUAAUGAUGAAGAUCUAAAAGUGAUUGAUGUGUCUCCUAUUAAAUCUUUGUUUUGCAAUAUGAAUCUUGAUAAUGAUGGGACUGGAGAUGAGUCAACUUUAGUUAAAAGGCGUCCCAAUGAUUCAGAGUUUUUAGAUCUUAAUGCUAAAAUUGGUAAAAGUGGGAUUGGAGAGAUCAAAACUUUACAUAGCAAUGAACCCACUAUUUUGGAUUUCAAGGAAUUUAAUUAUGAUAAUUGUUAUUUAAUAGAUUGUAUUUCCUUGUUACAAUCCGUGUUGAAUUCUCCUCAUGCUUAUAGUCAAAAUAAAGCUUUUACCAAACAUAUCGUUGAUGCUUUGAUGCAAUCUUAUGAAGAAAAACUUGAAUUGGAAGUUUUUUCCCUAGAAAACUUUAUGAUGAGUGGGUACCUACUAUUAAAAUUAAAAUUAAAGAUCAUGAAUGCUAUGCUUUGUGUGAUUCGGGUGCUAGUGUUUCCACGAUUCCAAAAACUUUAUGUGAUGUGCUAGGUUUCCGUGAAUUUGGUGAUUGCUCUUUAAACUUGCACCUUGCGGAUUCCACUAUUAAGAAACCUAUGGGAAGGAUUAAUGAUGUUCUUAUUGUUGCAAAUAUGAAUUAUGUGCCCAUGGAUUUUAUCGUUCUUAAUACAGAUUGCAAUUUUUUAUGUCCUAUUAUUCUUGGUAGACCUUUCCUUAGAACGAUUGGUGCAAUUAUUGAUAUGAAGGAAGGAAAUAUUAGAUUCCAAUUCUCAUUAAGGAAAGGCAUGGAACACUUUCCUAGACAAAAAUCAAAUUACCUUAUGAAUCUAUUAUGCGAGCCACUUAUGAAUUGAAUACCAAAGAUGGCAAUACUUAGAUCUAUUCUCGCUUUUAUGCCUAGCUAGGGGCAUUAAAUGAUAUCGCUUGUUGGGAGGCAACCCAAUUUUAUUUUUGUUCCUUACUUUUUGUUCCUGUUUAGUGAUAAAUAAUUCAUCUAGCCUUUGUUUAUAUGUGGUUUUAUGUUUUAGUUAGUGUUUGUGCCAAGUAGAACCUAUAUGGUCAUCUUGGGUGAAAGUUAAUUUGAUCUUGCUGAAAAACAGAAACUUUUGCACGCACGAGAAUAAUUUUAAUAAAUCACAGAAACAUGAUUUUUAGUUGAUUCUUUUUGAAGUAGAUCAAUAGAUAAAUUUCCUAGGACUUCCUAUAUUUCUAGGAUUUUAAGAGUUCCAGAAGUAUUCAAAAGUUACAGAUUGCUACAGACUGUUCUGUUUUUGACAUAUUCUGUUUUUCGUGUGUUGUUUGCUUAUUUUGAUGAAUCUAUGGCUAGUAUCGGGGGGUAUGAACCAUAGAGAAGUUGGGAUAUAGUAGGUUUAACACCAAUAUAAAUAAAUAAUGAGUUCAUUACAGUACCUUAAGUGGUGGUUUUUCUUUCUUGCACUAACGGAGCUCAUGAGAUUUCCUGUUGAGUUUUGUGUUGUGAAGUUUUCAAGUUUUGGAUAAAGAUUUGAUGGAUCAUGGAAUAAGGAGUGGCAAGAGCCUAAGCUUGGGGAUGGACAUGGCACCCCAAGAUAAUUCAAGGACAACCAAAAGCCUAAGCUUGGAGAUGCCCCGUGUUGGGGAUAUUACCACUAGGCGUAAACCGGCCUACUCGGGCCGGGUUAACUUCAUUAGUGGUAUAAGCAGAGGAAGGCCCAAGGCCUAUAGUCGGUUUAGAAUCUGUAGCCGUAAACCGACCUGAUGUAUAUCUUGUAUUGUAAGUUAGGAAUAGAGAGAUACCAGCCGGGAUACGAGUAUGAACCGGUUGGGACUCUAUGGACCGACGGGCGUCGCCCGUGUAUAUGGGGGGACGGCCCGGCGGCGGUUCAGGACAGACAACCACAACUCGAGCCUAGGCGAAGCUUAUUGGCUCCCUAGCCAUCGAGAUCAUAUCAAUUCCAUCACAACUAGACGUAGGCUUUUACCUUCAUCGAAGGGGCCGAACUAGUAUAAAACCCUCGUGUCUUUGUGUCCGCGUUAACCCCUUCAAGUAAACCCGUGGCGAUGGCUCCACGACUAAGUCCUUUCACUAGGACAUCUGCCGUGACAAAUCCAUGACAGUUGGCGCCCACCGUGGGGCUAUCGCACGAUGGUUUGACGAUCUUGGAGGGCAAGCUCAAGGGACUCGAAGGCUAUGUUGUGGGCCAAAUGACCAAGAGUCGCCGGGGCAGGAUCUACAUCGAUGACGCAGGAUGGGGUCCCGAGGCCGAUUCGAUCGAGUACGGGUACCGGGUCCCCUUUGGUGGCAUACACGUUUUCAUUGGCAAAAUUGGUGAGCCUGGGCCUGAGCCGGACAUCUGCACCAACCUCAUCGAGACGGCUCAGCGUGCGAGAUCUACCUAGGCUAAACCGGCCGUGAAGCGUGUCUUCGUUGGAGUCGUCCACGAAGGAGAGCGUGAGGACGAAUCAGAACACGGUAGCGAGACCGUCAUCUAUUCCGAUGACGAGUCCUCGACCGGAGAGACCGAACCGCUGUACCAGUUGCAAGACGACCAGAUUAGGGGCUGGUCCGAUGGCGACAGUAUUCCGGACCCCCCGGGCCAGGUCAACCGGGUUGGAAUAUUCAUGGCCGGCACACAGGCGGCGAAUCACUCUUCGACCGCCGCAGCAAUGCUCUCCGGAUCAGCAGCGGCAGCAGCAGCAGGGUCAGGAGGCCUUAUGCGCCCGCCGGUUCAAGUUCUAUCUGAGCUGUUUGAUGCACCAGCCGUGCUUAUGGCAGAGGACAAUCCGGCAGAUCAGGAGGCCCAUAAUGCAGAAAUUGCGAAGGUGAGAGAGCAGAUCGUGCAAGCCAAAGCGGAUCUGGCAGCAGAACAAGGCCGGAUGGCUGCAGAGCGGGCCGCUUUGGACGCCCAGGCCUAUAAACUCAUGCUUGACCAGAACGCAUCACAGGAGGUUUUGAAGCGGAAGCAUAGAUCAUGCCUGCCGUUAGGGUUUGACCCCCGAAAUCUCUUUCACACUCCAGGAGCUGGACCCAGUAAUCCGCCGCAGUACUCGGAGACGAACCGGAUUGAGGCACCAGGACCGGGGGCGACGGUCCAACCUCGCCUGAUGGAACCUCCUCACCGAAACAUUGUGGUUCCUCCGCCGGUCCAGACGCCCCUGGGUCAUUAUUCGAAUCCCAUGGACAACCUUGUUGCGGCCGCUGCACGGUUAGAGGCCAUCCCAGUCGAAGGGGAUUCUCCGCAAGCGAUAGAGACGCGCUGGGUUAAGGAGCUUCUCUGGACUGUGCUGAUUCAGCAGGAAGCAUAUUCUUACAGCCGUGAUCGGAUCCACUCUACACCCCGUCCAAGCCGGAGUUAUAGCAGGCGCUUGAAUGAACCCGCCGUAUCGAGCAAUGCGCGAGGCCGUGAAGCAGCCUGUGGCGAUAGCCCGGCAGGCGGUGUCCGCGAUGCGCAGGAUGUGGUGGACCGGGCCCGAGCACAAAGGGAGGCCGAGUUAGCAGCCCAGGAUAAUGCGGGUCAACUUAUGCCGGUUCGUUCUACCACCUUCACCGGACUAGGAGUCACGUCCGCUUUGGGAGUGCCUUGCUUGAUCCCUGCUUUACGUAAUGUGCGCCUGCCCAAAGAUUUCAAGGGUCCACGCAAGGUGCCGAAUUACACCGCUGAUUUACCCCCUGAAGCAUGGGUAGAGAGUUAUGAGAUGGGCAUGGAAAUGCUGGACGUGGAUGAGGCCGCAUGUGCAAAAUACUUCACCAUGAUGCUUGAGGGCACGACUCGUACUUGAUUAAAGAGCCUACCACCCAAUCCUAUCAGCUCAUGGGCCCAGUUGCGGGCCCGGUUUAUACAGAAUUUUAAGGAUACAUGUAAGCAGCCUAAGUCCAUAGUAGACCUGGCGGCUUGUGUCCAGGAGGAAGGAGAAUCAACGACCCGUUGGGUGCGCCGCGUUUCGGAAAUUUUGCACUCGUCUGACAGGAUUAAUGCUGACUCUGCAAUCUUAACUCUGGAAGGCAACUGCCAGUUUGAGCCUCUAAAAUUGAAGUUGGGACGCAUGAAGCGGUUCUAUAAUGACAUGGGAACCCUCAUGGCCGCUUUAGUGAAGUAUGCCGAUUCGGACAGUACCAAGGAUCCCGAGCCUAAUGAUGAUGAAGCAGGGAAGGGAAAGAAGAAUAGCAACUCCAAACAGCAGCAGUACAAACUAGCGGGUCAUGGAAACGGAGGCAAGCGCAAGGCGGAUGGCAGCAUGGACUUUGUGGCCAGCGGCAAAUCGUAAUGGGGCUCCCAAUCCUAACGCAAGCCGUUUGAACUAUUUGCUGAAUCAGCCUUGCCCGAAGCACGGGACGAAGGAGGCGCCGGCUAACCAUCUUUGGAAAGAUUGUUAUAUCAUGCAGGAGUUCAAAAACUCUAAUGCUUUCCGGUAUGAUCACGGAUCAGGUGGCGGUUCAGGAUCCGGUUUUCGCGGGCCGGAUCACGAUGGAGCUUCCGGUUCAGGUCACAAUCAGGGCGGUCACAAUCACCAGAAUAAUCAGAACAGCCAGCAGCAGCAGCAGUCGGGUUAUCAGAGCCAGCCAAAACAGUUGAACAAUGGGCAAUAUCAUGUUUUCACAACUAGUUUGGAUAAACACGACCGAAAACUCCACAGGCGAGCGGUGAAUUCUGUUGAACCGGCCUUGCCACGUUACUUGCGCUGGUCGGAGCAGCCUAUCGUGUGGAGCAGAGAGGAUCACCCGCCCCGGGUUGAUAAUCUGGGCCAGCUAGCGUUAGUGGUAGACCCUCAGGUGGGGGGUUAUAAAUUCACCAAGGUACUCAUGGAUGGAGGAAGCAGUAUUAACAUAUUGUACUAUGAGACAUUCCGCCGCAUGGGUUUAACAGACAAAGAUCUCAGACCGUCGAAUACGAUGUUCCAUGGUGUGGUGCCUAGCAAAUCUGCAUAUCCUGUUGGUAAGAUAGCCCUGGAUGUAGCUUUUGGGGACGAGCACAACUCCCGGUCAGAAAAACUAACAUUUGAGGUGGUGAAGAUCCGGAGCCCGUAUCACGCCUUGUUUGGCCGGCCGGCUUACGCCAAGUUCAUGGCGCGGCCUUGUUAUAUCUACUUGCAGCUCAAGAUGCCUGGUUACAAGGGGACCAUAACGGUUCAUGGGAGCCGUAAGGUCGCUUUGGAAUGUGAGGAAGGUGAUGCGGCUUAUGUAGAGUCAGUCUGUGCCACGGAGGAGUUGAAGUAUUAUAAGGACAAUGUUGAUCCGGCGGAUAUGACCCCUUUAAAGAAGCCAACUACAGAGCAUGCUUCAGAUCUGAAGUUCAAAUCGGCAGACCAAGCUUGUUGACUUCGUGCCCGGCGAUUCGUCCAAGCAGUUCACUAUCAAUGCCAACCUGGAUCCCAAAUAGGAAAGCGCGCUCAUCGAGUUCAUCCGUGAGAAUCGGGGCAUUUUUGCAUGGAAGCCGUCUGACAUGCCAGGUGUACCGAGGGAACUCGCUGAGCACACUCUUAAUGUGGAUCCUAAGUAUAAACCGGUGAAACAGUUCCUUCGCCGGUUUAACGAAGAAAGACGCAAAGCCAUUGGAGAGGAAGUGGCCAGGCUUUUAGCAGCUGGUUUUAUUAUUGAGGUGUUCCAUCCAGAGUGGCUUGCUAAUCCGGUGCUGGUUCUUAAGAAAAAUGACACUUGGCGUAUGUGUGUGGAUUACACAGAUCUUAACAAAGCCUGUCCGGCAGAUCCUUUUGCCCUCCCCCGUAUUGACCAGAUCAUUGAUGCCACGGCGGGUUGUGAGCGUUUGAGUUUUUUGGAUGCAUACUCUGGAUAUCAUCAGAUCAAAAUAGCGGUUAAGGACCAGGAGAAAACAUCGUUCAUUACUCCCUUUGGAGCCUUCUGCUAUGUAUCUAUGCCCUUCGGACUUAAGAGUGCCCAAGCCACCUAUCAACGGUGUGUACAGAAUUGCCUGCAUAAACAGAUCGGCCGCAAUGUGCACGCCUAUGUGGAUGAUAUUGUAGUAAAAUCAAGGCAGAAGGAGACGCUGGUGGAUGACUUGAAGGAAACCUUUGACAACUUGCGGGUUUACAAGAUGAUGCUUAAUCCGGCCAAGUGUGUCUUUGGUGUUCCAGCAGGCAAGUUACUGGGUUUCCUGGUGUCUAACAGAGGAAUCGAGGCUAACCCGGAGAAGAUUACGGCUAUUACAUCCCUAGCUAAACCAAAAUGUAUCAACGAUGUUCAGCGUUUGGCGGGCCGGAUCGCUGCACUAAGCCGGUUUAUCAGCCGCCUCGGAGAGAAGGCCAUUCCUUUGUACCAAAUGCUGAGGAAGACGGACCAUUUCAUUUGGAGUCCGGCUGCUGAUGAAGCGUUUGAGGACCUGAAGCGGCAGUUAGCCAAUCCGCCUGUUCUUGCAGCUCCGGUCGACAAGGAGCCACUAUUAUUAUAUGUAGCGGCCAAUGCUCGGGCAGUUAGCGUGGCUAUUGUGGUGGAACGCAAAGAGGCAGGCAAGGAAUAUCCGGUUCAGCGGCCGGUUUAUUAAUAUCAGCGAGGUGCUUAUUGAAUCCAAGAAAAGGUAUCCGCAUUGGCAGAAGCUGGUCUAUGGUGUUUUUAUGGCCAGUCGGAAGUUGAAGCAGUAUUUUCAAGGGCACCCCAUCACAGUGGUCAGUUCAGCCCCCUUGGGUGAUAUUAUACAGAACCGGGAGGCGACUGGCCGGAUUGCCAAGUGGGCUAUAGAGCUUGGGCCACACGGAUUGAAGUACGUGCCUCGGACGGCAGUGAAGUCUCAAGCACUUGUUGAUUUCAUCAAUGACCGGACGGAGUUACAAGCACCAGAGGAGAAGCCGGAUCACGCAUAUUGGACUAUUCAUUUUGAUGGAUCCAGGCAAUUGGAAGGCUCGGGGGCUGGAGUCGUAUUAACUUCCCCACGAGGUGAUAAGUUUUGUUAUGUUCUCCUCUUAAUGUUACCUUGUACUAAUAAUGCAGCUGAGUACGAAGCCUUGCUCCAUGGUCUCCGGAUGGCUAAAGAGAUGAAUUUAAGCCGGGUUAAGUGCUUUGGUGACUCGGACCUAGUGGCUCAACAGGUGUCUGGCACUUGGGAUUCUAAGGACCCGCUCAUGGCUGCAUAUCGUCGGGAAGUGGAUAAUAUUGCAGGUUGUUUCAAGGGUUAUCAAGUGGAUCAUGUGGACCGUCGGAAGAAUGAAGCGGCGGAUGCUUUAAGCCGGUUGGGCUCUCAGCGUAAACCGGUCCCGCCUAACGUCUUUUUGGACGUGUUGCACAACCCGUCAGUCAAGCUCCCAGGUGAAGCGGAUUUGGCUAUUCCUGAUCCGGAGGCUCAAUUGGUGGCAGCCCUGCAUGUUAUUCCGGAUUGGACAGUUCCUUAUCUUGUGUACAUGAACCGGGGGGAGUUACCAGAGGAUGAGAUUCUGGCCAGGCAGAUAGUCCGGCGAUCCAAGUCUAUGACGAUUGUCAAUGGUGAAUUACAUCAUUGCAGUGUAUCAGGGGCGUUUCAACGUUGUGUUUCUCCUAAGGAAGGCUGUGAAAUCUUAAGAGAAAUCCAUGAAGGGGAUUGUGGACACCACGCCGGUUCAAAGUCUCUGGUGGCGAAGGCGUUUCGUCACGGGUUCUACUGGUUGACAGCGCAUGCUGACGCGGAGGACUUGGUUAAACGGUGUGAUGGAUGUCAGAAAUUUUCAAGGCGUGCUCAUGUGCCGGCUCAAGAAUUGAGGAUGAUUCCAAUAACGUGGCCGUUUGCAACUUGGGGGCUGGAUAUGGUUGGGCCUUUUAAAAUAUCCAAGGAUAAGAAAACCCACCUUUUGGUAGCAGUUGACAAAUUUACCAAGUGGGUUGAAGCGGAGCCUGUCAGCAAGUGUGAUGCAGCAACAGCGGUGCAGUUCAUCAAGAAGGUGAUUUUCCGGUUUGGUUUUCCACACAGUAUCAUUACUGACAAUGGUACCAAUUUAUCCAAGGGCGCUAUGAAGGAGUUCUGUGAACGUGAGCACAUCCGACUUGACUGUCGUUAGUGGCACACCCCCAGUCCAAUGGACAGGCAGAACGAGCUAAUCAGGAAAUCUUGCGAGGCAUCAAACCCCGGCUUAUGGUCCCGUUACAAAGAACACCAGGAUGUUGGGUUGAAGAGCUACCAUCUGUAUUAUGGAGUAUCAAUACUACGCCAAACCGGUCCACAUGAUACACGCCAUUUUUCAUGGUCUAUGGAGCAGAGGCAGUUCUCCCUAGUGACAUCCGGCACGAUUCGCCUCGUGUGGCAGCUUAUGUUGAAGCAGACAAUGAGACAGCACGGCAAGACGCUUUGGACCUAUUGGACGAGGAGCAUGAUAUAGCGGCUGCCCGUUCGGCGAUUUACCAGCAAGAUCUUCGUUGCUAUCACAGUCGCCGGGUUAGAACCAGAACUUUUCAAGAAGGAGAUUUGGUACUUCGACUCAUCCAAGAUCAAACGGAUAUGCACAAGUUAUCCCCACCUUGGGAGGGACCUUUCGUGGUUAGCAAGAAUUUGCACAACGGGUCGUACUAUCUGAUUGAUAUUCGAGGGCAUCAAGACUCACGUACAUCAGAGGAGGAGACCAACAGGCCGUGGAAUAUAGCUCAUCUUCGGCCUUACUAUACUUGAGCCAUCGGCUCUAUCUAUGUACAUAUCAUGACAAUGUAUAUAUUAUCUUUGAUAUAUCAAACUAGAGCCUCGGCUAAAGUGGGGUCUCUGUCUUUCUCAUCAUGCGAGGUUACACGGAGUGGUUCUGUUUAAAGCGGCCUCCGGUUUACCCCUUGACAUUUGUUUUUUAUAUAUCACUGGGGGCCUUGGUCGUGUCCGAACCAACGAACACCCUUUGAUAGGCGACAGCCACCAGAUCAUUUGGGGACAUGGUCAAGUCUAAACCAGUCACGCCUCUUGGUCGGCCUAAGGCCACAAAAUCACUUGGGGGCAUGGUCGAACCCGAACCAUUGCCACGCCUCUUGAUCUGGCAUAUAUGCCACGAAUCAUUUGGGGACCUGGCUGACUUGAGUCAUUGUCACUCCUAUUGGGGGCCUUGAUCCUGUCCGACCAUGGUAAUACCAUCUGAUCAGCUCAGUAUAGCAUAUUUUUGCAAAUGGUUUUUUAUCAUUGCCUUUGCUUCCAUGUUAUUUUCAUGGUUUGUUUUUUCUUUGUUUUUGUCGGAUUUCUUUUAUGUCGACAAACACCUUUUUUC
This 88520-nucleotide long non-coding RNA is filed under the name Triticum aestivum (bread wheat). RNAcentral describes it as "long non-coding RNA (TAES_LNC022060)". The record is from RNAcentral. Lineage: Eukaryota; Viridiplantae; Streptophyta; Magnoliopsida; Poales; Poaceae.